GCGAACCAUGCCUCAUGGGCAAGAUGACUAAAACUCCGUUCUCCGGAACAAUGGAGCAAGCUAAUGACUUAUUUGAAACAAUACAUACCGAUGUAUGCGAUCCAAUGAGUGUUGAGGCACGUGGCGAGUAUCGUUAUUUUCUGACAUUCACAGAUGAUUUGAGUAGGUAUGGAUAUAUCUACUUAAUGAAACACAAGUCUGAAACAUUUGAAAAGUUCAAAGAAUUUCAGAGUGAAGUGGAGAAUCAUCGUAACAAGAAAUAAGAUGUGAUCGUGGAGGCGAAUAUUUGAGUUACGAGUUUGGCCUUCAUUUAAAACAAUGUGAAAUUGUUUCACAACUCACGCCACCUGGAACACCACGGCAAAAUGGUGUGUCCAAACAUCGUAACCGUACUUUAUUAGAUAUGGUGCAUUCUAUGAUGUCUCUUACCGAUUUACCAAUAUCGUUUUGGGGUUAUGCAUUAGAGAGAGUUGCAUUCACGUUAAAUAGGGCACCAUCUAAAUCCGUUGACUUGAAACCGUAUGAACUAUGGUUUGGCAAGAAACCUAAGCUGUCGUUUCUUGGGGUUGCGACACUUAUGUCAAAGGGCUUCAGCCUGAUAAGCUCGAACCCAAAUCGGAGAAGUGUGUCUUCAUAAGAUACCCUAAGGAAACAAUUGGGUACACCUUCUACCACAGAUCCAAAGGCAAGAUCUUUGUUGUUAAGAAUGGAUCCUUUCUAGAGAAGGAGUUUCUCUCGAAAGAAGUGAGUAGGAGGAAAGUGGAACUUGAUGAGGUAAUUGUAUCUUCUCUCGAAUUGGAAAGUAGUACAUCACAGAAAACCAUUCCCAUGAUGCCUACACCAACUAGAGAGGAAGCUAAUGAUAAUGAUCAUGAAACUUCAGAUCAAGUUACUACUAAACUUCGUAGGUCGACCAGAGCACGAUCUGCACCAGAGUGGUACAGUAAUCAUGUCCUGGAAGUCAUGUUAUUAGACCAUGGCGAACCUACAAACUAUGAAGAAGCUAUGAUGAGACCAAAUUCUGACAGAUGGCUUGAGGCCAUGAAAUCUGAGAUAGGAUCCAUGUAUAAGAACAAAGUGUGGACUUUGGUGGACUUCCCGAUGAUCGGCAGACCAUAUAGAAUAAAUGGAUCUUCAAGAAGAAGACUGACACUGAUGGUAAUGUUACUAUCUAUGAUGUGACGGACAAGACCCACCAGUUAGCUUAGCAUAAUGAUCGUUCAGUUUAUUGCUAUUGCUUUCUUCAUGUCAAAUAUUAAUUCCUUUGACUAUGAGAUUAUGCAACUCCCGGAUACCAAAGGAAUACCUUGUGUGCUAUCAAACGUCACAACAUAACUGGGUGAUCAUAAAUAUGAUCUACAGGUAUCUCCGAGGGUGUUUGUUGAGUUGGCAUAGAUUGAGAUUAGGAUUUGUCACUCCGAGUAUCAGAGAUGUAUCUCUGGGCCCUCUCGGUAAUACACAUCAUAAGCUUGCAAGCAAAUAACUAAGGAGUUAGUCACGGGGUGAUGUAUUAUGGAACGAGUAAAGAGACUUUCCGGUAACGAGAUUGAAUUAGGUAUGAAGAUACCGACGAUCGAAUCUCGGGCAAGUAACAUACCGAUGGAUAAAGGGAAUUACGUAUGUUGUCAAUAACGGUUUGACCGAUAAAGAUCUUCUUAGAAUAUGUAGGAGCCAAUAUGGGCAUCCAGGUUCCGCUAUAGGUUAUUGACCGGAGAGGUGUCCCGGUCAUGUCUACAUAAUUCUCGAACCCGUAGGGUCCGCAUGCUUAACAUUCGUUGAUGAUACAGUAUUAUAUGAGUUAUGUGAUUUGGUGACCGAAUGUUGUUCGGAGUCCCGGAUGAGAUCACAGACAUGAUGAGGAGUCUUGAAAUGGUCGAGAGGUAAAUAAUGAUAUAUAGGACGAUAGUAUUCGGACACCUGAAGUGUUUUAGAUGGUACCGGGUACUUAUCCGGUCACCAGAAAGGAGUUUCGGACACCCCUAGCAAAGAUAUGAGCCUUAUGGGCCAAGAGAGGAAAAGCACCGGCCACAAGGGGCUGGUGCACCCCUCAUAGCAGGCCAACCUAAGGAGGAGAAGAAAAGGGAGAGGGAAAGGUAAGUGUGGAUUAGGAUUCCCACUUCCUUCCCUCUCCCCCCUCUUCCCUUCCCCCUUGGGAAUACAUGGCGACGNNNNNNNNNNNNNNNNNNNNNNNNNNNNNNNNNNNNNNNNNNNNNNNNNNNNNNNNNNNNNNNNNNNNNNNNNNNNNNNNNNNNNNNNNNNNNNNNNNNNNNNNNNNNNNNNNNNNNNNNNNNNNNNNNNNNNNNNNNNNNNNNNNNNNNNNNNNNNNNNNNNNNNNNNNNNNNNNNNNNNNNNNNNNNNNNNNNNNNNNNNNNNNNNNNNNNNNNNNNNNNNNNNNNNNNNNNNNNNNNNNNNNNNNNNNNNNNNNNNNNNNGCUAGGCUGCCUCCCCUCCCCCUCCCACCUAUAUGUAUGUGGGAGGGGCGCCUAGCACAACCCAGAUCAAUUGUUAGCUGUGUGUGGCUCCCCCUCCACCGUUUACAUCCCCGGUCAUAUUUUCGUAGUGCUUAGGCGAAGCCUUGUGGAGAUCACAUCAUCAUCACCGUCAUCACGCCAUCGUGCUGCCAAAAUUCAUCUACUACCUCGCGAUCUUGCUGGAUCAAGAAGGUUGAGGACGUCACCGAGCUGAACGUGUGCAGAACAUGGAGGUGUCGUGCAUUCGGUACUAGAUCGGUUGGCGUGCGAAGAAAGUUUGACUACAUCAACCGCGUUGUAAAAUGCUUCCGCUUACGGUCUACGAGGGUACAUAGACACACUCUCCCCCUCUCGUUUCUAUGCAUCUCCUUGAUAGAUCUUGCAUGUGCAUAGAUUUUUUUUAUUUUCCAUGCAACGUUUCCCAAUAGGAUGCACUGGUGAAGUUUACACCAACUCUCGAGAUGAUAAAGGGCAAUGCACGGUACCGAAGAGGCUAGCAAAUUGCAGAAAGGUAAGAGCGCGUAUAAUCCAUGGACUCACAUUAGUCAUAAAGAACUUACAUACUUAUUGUGAAAGUUUAUUAGUCCUCAAACAAAAGUACUACUCACAUGCCCCUUGGGGGAUAGAUUAGUAGGAAAAUAUCAUCGCUCGUCCCCGACCGCCACUCAUAAGGAGACACUGAAUAAUAAAUCAUGCUCCAACUUCAUCGCAUAACUAGAGACUAUAUGUGCAUGCUUCGGGAAUCACAAACCUUAACAUUAAUAUUCUUACUAAACCACAAUCAUUCACUAGUACAUCCACAUAUCACCAACUUAGUAACGCAAAUCUAUUGCAAGGAAUCAAACAUAUUAUAUUCAGUGAUCUACAUGAAAGUUUUUAUUAUAUACUUCUUGAGUACCUAUCCAUUAUGGACUAGUCUUAUAACCGAUGCAAAUUGCAGUAAUAUUUAUUAGCCUCUCAAAAAAUAUUUAAGUGAAGCGUGAGAGUGCAACUAUUUCUUUAAAAUAUAACCACUGCCUUACUCUAAAAGAUAUAGGUGAAGCACUAGAGCAACUGCCUAGCUCCAAAUAUAUAAGUGAAGAACAUAAAGUAUUCUAACAAAUCAUGAAUAAAUGGGUGUCCCUCUCAAAAGGUGUGUCCAAUAAACAAUGAUUGUGGUAAACUAAAAAGCAAAUAAAGCGAAAACUACUAUGGCACAAGACGCUCCAAGUAAAACUCAUAUCAUGUGAUAAAUAAAAAUAUAGCUCCAAGUAAUAUACCGACAGUUUGUAGACGAAAGAGGGGAUGCCAUCUAGGGCAUCCCCAAUCUUAGACACUUGGAUCUUCCAUGAAUAUUACCUUGGGAUUACUCAAGCUUAGGGUCUUGCCCCUCCUUAUUCCUUCAUCCAUUGUAAUCUCACCUAAAACUUGAAAACUUCAGCAUCCAAAACUCAGCAGAAACUUCAUGAGAUCUGUUAGUAUAACAAGCAAAUCAUAAACUUUAUGUACUGUUAUGAACCCAUUCAUAUUUUAUUAUUUCAUAAUACUUAAUUUAUUCUAACUUCUCCAUGACUUAAACCCCCGAUGUAAUACAUAGCAUCACUAAAACAAGCAAACUAUGCAACAAAAACAGAAUAUGUCUAAAAUAGAACAAUCUGCAAUGAUCUGAACAAAUGUCAUAUUUCUAUAACUCUAAUGAUUCUGAAAAUUUAGUACAACAUGGAAUUUUUUUAUAUAAAUCAUGUGUAAAAAGUUUAGAUUGAAAGCACGUUGCAGUGAUUUUAAAGAAUUCUGGACUGAGCACAAAAGUUUCUGUUUUUCACACAAUCAACUAUCAAACAAAUCAUCCCAAAGGCUUUACUUGGCACACACGCUAAUUAAAACAUGAAAACACAAUCAUAACAGUAGCAUAAUUAUUUAAGCACACCACAAAUAGAAAGUAAAAAGGAAAAUUAAAGAUAACUAUUGGGCCUCCUAACAAACGCUAUUGUUUUACACCCCUAGUUAGGCGUAAGACAUUGUUUCAAAUGUUGUCAUCUUUCAAGUCCAAUUCCUCAAUUAUAGAACCAUGCUUCCUAGGAGGCUCAGCAUUCAUGUUAGUAAUCGCACUCCUAGGGACAAAGUUAGGAAUUCAUUUUCAUAGACAGGUUCCUUUAUCAAAUCAAUGAAAUUGGGUGCAAAGUAAUCAUUUUAAUAUCUUCGUUCCCAUUACUAGAUGUUCCCCCCAUAUUCUUAGGCACGUACAUGAACUUGCAAUUCUUAUUAGGAGGAGUCCUUUCAAUAAUUUGAACGGGAGAAAAAUCAGAACCCAAGUUAUUAAUUACUUCUUCCAACUUAUCAAUUCUACAAGGACUUCGUUCUAUUCUCAUUAAUUAUUGGUUCCUUAUCCUUUAACAUUUUUAAGUGGUUCCUACUUUUGAGCCCAAUUGAGCAACAUGGUUAUGAAACUUUUUGUCUAAAUUCUCAAUAUGUUCAUUGGUAGGCAUUUUAUUCUCAAUAGCUUCUAGCCUUUUCAUUAAAUGUUCCAAAGUUAAAGUUGUUUCAUUAAUAAUAAUAGGUGGUGAUCCCACUAAAUUUAUCAUAGCAUUGAAAGUAUCCAUAGGGUGACUAAUCAAGAAAUUCCCUAUGGUAAUAGUGUCUAGCAAAAAUCUAUAUCAAGUAGUAGCACCCACAUAAAAUUGCGAAGAAGAACGGUGGUGGAUUGCUUACGAGUUGAUCUAUUUUGAGCACCGCAAAUCCUAUACCAAUCAUAUUUUAAAAUUUCUCCUCCCCUUUGUUUAAAAUUAAGCACUUCAUUUUUAGGGGUACAAGAGCUUGAGAAGAACUAGCCAUAGUGGCAAAGCAAGCAAACGAGCAAACAAAUAUUUUUGUGAUUUUAUAUUUAUUUUAUGAGAAGUGGGGAGAUGAAAAUGAGAGGCAAAGGCAAAUAUAAAUUAGCGCAAGUAGAUGAUAGUUUAUGCGAAGGUACUUGAUAGGUUUUUAUGAUGUUCCCCGGCAAUGACGCUAGAAUUCUCCCUGUCCCCGAAGAGGAGAUGAGAUGUUGUACAAUAGAGAUAAGUAUUUCCCUCAGUGAGAACCAAGGUUUAUCGAAUCAAUAGGAGAAUCAUGCAAAGCCUCGUGAACAGCACCUGCACACACAAAAGCAAAUACUUGCACCCAACACGGGCAAGAGGGUUGUCAAUCCCCUUGAACUCGUUAUUGCAAAGAUCAAAUCUCAUAGUCGUAAAUAGAUAAAUUACAAAACAAAAUAAAAGUAAUAAAAUUGCAGCAAAGGUAUUUUUUAUAUGAUUAAAGUAGACCCAGGGGCCAUAGUUUUUACUAGAGGCUUCUCUAUCGAACACGUGGCAUAUGGUGGGUGAACAAAUUACCGGCAAUUGAUAGAAGAGUACGUAGUUAUAAAGAUAUUCAAGACAAUGAUCAUGUAUAUAGGCAUCACAGCCGAGACAAGUAGACUGACUCCGGCCUACAUCUACUACUAUUACUCCACCAAUCGACCGCUAUCCAGCAUGCAUCUAUGGUAUUAUGUUCAGAAAAACAUAGCAAUGUCUUAAGCAAGUUGACAUGAUGUAGACAAAGUAAACUCAAUAAUGUGAAUAAACCCCAUUGUUUUGCCCUUAAUGGCAACAAUACAAAUACAUGUCUUGUCCCUUUCUGUCACUGGGAUAUAGAGCACCACAAGAUUGAAGCACUCACAAAGCACCUCUCCCACUGAAGAUAAAGAAAUCUAGUUGGCCAAACUAAACGGAUAGAUCGGAGAGAAAUACAAAGGUAUAAAAAUCAUGCAUAAUAAAUUUUAGAAAAGACUCAGUUACUUCUGAUGAAUAUUCAGAUCAUAAAACAUAAUUCAUCGGAUCCCAAAAAACACACCGCAAAAGAAGAUUACAUUGGAUAGACCUCCAAGAACACCGAUGAGAACAUGGUAUUGAAGAUCAAAGAGAGAGAAGAAGCCAUCUAAUAGCUAGCUAUGCACCCGUAGGUAUGUGGUGAACUACUCACGCAACAUCGGAAGUCAAUAAGGAUGAUAUAGAAGCCCUCCAUGAUCGAUUCUCCCUCUGACAUAGUACCGGAAAAGGUCUCCAGAUGGGACCGCGGAAGAACAUAAGCUUGCGGCGGCGUAAAAAGUGUUUGGGGUGGCCCUCUAUUUUCCCCAAUAUUUGAGAAUUUAUAGAAGUGGAAUUAUGUCAGACGGAGCCUCGAGGGGCCCACAAGACAAUAGGGUGCGGCCCCCUAGGCGCGCACUUUUGCCUUGCCAUCUCCUCGUUCAUCAUCUGGUUUCCUCCCGAAACUUCUAGGAUCUCUCUUGUCCAGAAAUAAAUGUCAAAAAGUUUCAUAGAGUUUGGACUCCGUUUGGUACUGAUUUUCUUAAAAACCCAAAACAAGCAGAAAACAAAAGCUGGCACUUGGCACUGGGUUAAUAGGUUAGUUCUCAAAAAUGAUAUAAAAUAGUAUAAAAAUGCAUAUAAAGCAUCCAAGAUUGAUAAUAUAAUAGCAUGGAACAAUAAAAUAUUAUAGAUACGUUGAAGACGUAUUAGUAAACUACUCACACAUCUUCGAAGGUGCGGAAAGGUUGAUAUAGAAGCCCUCUGUGAUCGAUUUUCCCUCCGACAGAGUACCGAAAAAGGCCUACAAAUGGGAUCGUGGAAGAACAGAGACUUGCGGCGGUGGAAAAAUUAUUGAGGGUGGCUCUUUGUUGGUUUUGGGACUCAUCGGAAUUUAUGGAAGUGGAAUUAGAUCAAACGGAUCUGCGUGAGACGCACAAGCUCACGUAGUCACGUGUCACCCCCCUAGGGGUGUGCCAUGUGAGCUUGUGACUCUCCCGUAAAUCUUCUGGCCUCCCCCAAAACUUUUAGGGUCUCUUCUGGUCCGGAAAAAAAUCACCAUAAAGUUUCAUUGUGUUUGAACUUCGUUUGGUAUUGAUUUUUUGAAAAUCAAAAAACAUGCAAAAAACAGCAACUGACACUAGGCGUUGAGUUAAUAGGUUAGUUCCCAAAAAUGAUAUAAAAUUUCAUAUAAAGUAUAUAAGAUUGAUAAUAUAAUAGCGUGAAACAAUCAAAAAUUGUAGAUAUGUUGGAGAUGUAUUAAUGGUGGAGCUCCGAGGUCGUGGUGGUGGCGCCUAAUGGAGGUGUGUCGGCACUCUGCAUCAAGGUCUAGCGUGGUGUGGCAGCUCUAGCCAGCGACCCGCGAGGCAUCUCAUCCUACUGCGGCUAUGAGGAUGCAAGAUUUGACCGCGGGGUUGCAAAUGCAUGGAUGUGUUGACCAGAGGAUUUCGAGGGUUGGGUGAAAACCCGUUUAUGGCCAUGGCUGGAGCCUAUGACGGCAACUUCGGUGGACGUCGUAACCUUCUUGAAGGCGUCGACUGGAUGCUCUCUCUUCCUAUGCGAGGGACAACUCCGGGGGAGACUCCAAACCCGACGGUUGGUUGUUGGCGGCGUGUUAAUGACGUUCCCCUCUCGAGGGCAUCAAUUUUGAAGGUUAAUCCGGUUAGAGGGGCCAGUGGGUGUGUUGGGAGGUUGGGCGAUGGAAGGCGUUGUUGUGGCGUCGAGACUUCUGUGGCCAGAUGAUUGGGCAAGUGAAAUCAAAGGCAUUGCGGUGGUUUCGGUAGUCGGCUCUUCUCCGACGUAUCCGUGUGAUUAACUUGAUUUGUUUAUUGCGGUGAAGUCGGAGCUGCGGCGGCAGGCCCCCUGUGGCAACGAGGACAGGCAUCAGGUGGUCUGUUCGGUGGUCUUCCAUGGUGCCAACCUGACAUAGUUCUUCUUUGGAUCUCUCCUUCAGAGUCGGAGCUGCGCUACCCUCGAUGCGGGUGGCUGAGUUCUGGCACAGAUCUUCAUGUGUUUCUACAUGGCCUCUGCGGUGAGGGUUGGGUCUGUGUUCGUCCACAGCAAAGUCAAAGUCGCUUGCUCAGCAAUUAGGGAUGGCAAUGACGCCUUCUAGGGGAUAAGUGAUGAUGAUGACGCAUGUGUGCUAGCUCGGCGAGACACACUCUGUAAAGGUGUGCGGGGAUGUCUGUGUGUGUGUCGAACAGCAGUUUAUGAUGAUUUUCGCUGGUCCUUCGCUAAUUAAUAGGCAAUUCUUUUUUCUUAAUUAAUGGGGAGGCAAAUUUUUUGCCUUUGUUUUUUUCUUUAAAAAAGUUCAAAAUGGACCGCCCGGUUAAAAGAAUGAAAAAUAAUAAUCAGGAGAGUCGAACAACUUGCAUAUAUAUAUCCGGUUGAUUACGUGCCCCUAUGAGAUACAUUGAGAAGAGAACAAGAGAGAUGACGACAUGAUUGGCAUCAUCAGCUGCUAGUGCAUCCCAUUUUAUUAUACGGUUGAUCGUUGUCUGGGCAUAUAUACACCGUAUUUUCACACGCGCAUCGCUGGAUUCAUGGAUGGACAUAAGGAGAGCUAGCAAGACGUGCCGUUGCAACCGCGUCAACAUAGCAAAUCUGAUAUGUAUAUCCUCCUCGUCUCAUGUUCAAGGGUUUUCUAACGCGCAUGUGCGUGUUAACCUACUGUUUGCUAUCACCGUCGGCACAAUUGCAACGGGAGACGCGGACGCGUACAGGUAAACAAGGUUUAACACACUUCGAAAAUUCAGUGCAGGCUGUUGCUAGUAGUCAAUCUAGAAACCUGGCAAUUAGCAGUUUGAAGAGUCUGAUAAGCUGAUGCGGUGCUGUGCUACUCCGGCGAUUUUCGCCUACUCAAAUCUAGAAACACUCCUCCAUCCAAAAAUGCUCUAGCCAUGUAAUCUAGUACUGCCUCCAUCCCAAAAUGUUAGAUUGUUUUUUACACUAAUGAUCUUAUAUUUUGAUGCGGAGGAAAUAUAGAAUAUGAGAGGACGCGGCAAUCUAUUUCUAUGAUUUUUUAUUCAUGUGUUUUAAAGAAUCCUACGAAUUAAAGAGGUCCUAAAAAUUCUAACAACAUCCACAACACCGCCGGCCCAUGGUGGCUCUAGGACCAUGGGGCGUGUUGGAUCCCGGUCCUCGCAGGUGGGAGGACUUCUUUAGACAUUUCUUCGAGUUUUGUUAGGGCUCGUGUCCUGCUCAGGAAGACGGGACGACGGCGGCUCUUUGAAGAUGGAAUAAGGUUCUCUCCGCCUAGCACUCGUCCCAGUGGUGCGCCCAGUAUCGUCGGUAGGCGUGUGGAGAUGUGUCUCCAGCGGAUCUGUCCAUGGUGGAUUUGCUUGGAUCUUCAGGUUAAAUCCUUCUAAUCAACGCUACUAUUCAACGGCGGCGGUUGUUGUUCUGGUCCUAUGAGGCCUUAGGACAAAGACUUCCCGACUGUCUACUACAACAAAUUUUGUCCGGUUCCGGCGUGGGAGGGGUGAUGAUGGCGGCGUAUCUUUGGCUUGCUUCAGUGCUUGUAGUCAUCGUUAGAAGGUCUACGAACUGGAUGUAAUUUUUAUUAUUUCUAACGUUCGUCGUAGUGCCAUGAUUGGAGAUAAAUAAAUCAAGAGUUUUCCUGCAAAAAAAUUACAUUCAUCAUGAAACAUUUUUGUACCACAUAUAUUAUAUUCCUUCCGUUCCUAAAUAUAAAUCUUGUUAAAGAUUCCAAUAUAAACUACAUACGAAGCAAAAUAAGUGAAUUUACAAUCUGAAAUAUGUUUAUAUACAUCCAUAUGUAGUUCACAUUAAAAUCUCUAAAAUAACUUAUAUUUAGAAACGGAAAAAGUAUAUUGUAGGUAUUCAGAUAUAGUUUUCAAAUAUACAUGAGUUUUCUAGAGCCUGAAUACAGGGAGAAGUUUUCCCAUGCUAGUCCGCAACGAUCACAUCGUAUGUUCCUCAAGCUGGGUGGCGAAGCACCCUAGCUACCUUUCUAUGAGGCCAAUUCCAACGCACGAUCCCAAAUGGUCCGGCUGCGUCCAUUUGGGCGCAAACGGACAGAACAGAUGGCCCAACGCGCGGGAGCAAACGGACCAAUGUCCAUUUUCGGCCUCUUUCGACCCAUUUCCGGCUUAACUUUGGACCGCGUUUGCAGCCGAACGGAGACGCGCGUACGGUGCGUGGAGCAUGUCCAUGUCCUCCCUUGACCCGCUCGUCCCGGACACUACAAAAAAAGAUGCAUCCAUGACAUUUUGGGCUGAACGGAUUUUUUUCCUGUCGUGCUUAUGACACUUCCAUGACGAUAAUUGUGCCAAAACCCGUUAUCAUCGUAGGUGUGGUGGGCUCCUACUUCUAUGACAAAAAAUCAUACAGAGAAUGGGCUUUUCGUCCUGGGCGGGUUCGGAAACGCAGCUACAUGACAUUCUUUGGGCCGUCCAUGACGGAAAACACCGUGGUAGAAGCGAGGGCGAGGAAAAUAUCAGGGAGUUCCCGGUUACAGUGGGUGGUCGGGGGCCAAGCGAUGCGCGUUUCUCUCGUACACGUAAGCGCGUAGGUGCGAGGCGUUAGGCUCUAACUGAACCCGAGCGAGGCGCUCGCCUACUAAACCCGAGCGAUUGCACUGUAGGCUAUGCGUAACUGAACCCGAGCGAUCAAUCGAUUUUGCUGUUAACUGAAGCCGAUCGAGCGAUUCCUUCGCUACUGCUGCUAACUGAAGCCGAUCGAACAUGCUGCCUCUUGAUGAACAGUGAGCGUUGUUGGGGGGUUGGAUGAACAGUUCCCGGUGGGGGGUUGGAUGAACAGGACCCCGUGGUAGUAGAGGCUGUUGCCGCUGGAUGAACAGGACCCCGAUCGAGCCGGUUGGGGGUGGAUGAAUAGGACCCGUGGAGGGCUGGAUGAACAGUAGCCCGUGGAGGGGUGGUUGAACAGGACCCCGUGGAGAGGGUUAGUUGAACAGUAGGCGGUGGAGGAGCGGUGGAGGCUGGAUGAACAGAAGCCCAUGGAUGAAUAGUCGCAGGUGGAGGCUGGAGGAGGUCGACGAUGGAUGAACAGUAGCCCGUGGAGACUGGAGGAGGUCAACGGUGGAGAUGAACAGUAGCCCAUGGAGUCCUGUUUUGCGGUACGCUACACCCCUCCUGAUGAACAGGACUCCCGUUUCGACCGUAGCGCUCUAACACAUGUCUGUUUCCUCCAUUUUGCGGUACGCCACACCCCUCCCGAUCAACAGGACCCCGUUUCAACCGCAGGCACUCAAACACAAGUCCAUUUCCUCUAUUUCGCGGUACGCCAGAUGUCGGCAUUUUGGGAACGGGGGUCCCCACACUUGCCUGCCUACGGCCUGCUGCGUGGCUCAACCAGUGGCCCAGUACGGCCCGUCUUCAUCGACCAACCACUCAAGACCCUUGCGAGGGGCCAAGCCUCGCGGGGCAGACGACGCAAGGCCUCCUCAGGAGUGGCCUCAUCAGGCAGGCUCACGAGGAGGUGGAGAGAUCAAGGCAAGGGGUACCUCGCGAGGUUCCCCUGACGCAAGCCAUGACGAUCAAGACCAGGCGGGCGCCAGCCCACGCAGUGUCCUCGUUUCCCCUUUGGUGCUAAGGGGGCAAGCACAGGCGCGGAGUACCGAGGCACCAGGCAAAGGUUUCCAUAUCGAUGCAACAAGACCAAGACCAGCAGGACGGCAGGACGGAGGUCACCGUGGAGCCCAAGACAGCGUCAUCACCAGCGCCUUUGGCAGGCGAAGACCACCUUUAGUCUGGAUAGCUUGUACUAGUUGUCCCCUUUCAAAAUGGCCUUUGUUGGAUCCCUUCCUGCUCAAUAUUUGGGAAGAGGACCAGGGCCUCUAUAAAUAGGGCUAGCCACCACAGUAGAGGGACAUCUAAUCCAAGGGCGACGGAUCGAAUCCUUCCAAAGCAGAGCACCACACCAGCUCAAGAACACCUCUCCUCACGAGGCCGUUCUUCCCUUGUACUGUUCAUCAUCAGCACAAGAGGCAAUCCACCAUCACACACAGGAGUAGGGUAUUACACCAAAACGGUGGCCCGAACCUGUAUAAAUCUUGUGUCUCUUGUGUUGUGAGUUCAUCGUGUUAGCUUAGAGAUCGCGGCGAGGCUGAGGGCGUGUUUCGGUAGGGAGAAAUCUUCAUGCGCACCCCUGUGUUCGAACCUUAAGGACGGGACUGAGCUCACUCAAGGGCCGGGACCUAAGGACGUAGAGCAUGAAGGAGAGUGUGGGGAAAAAAGGAAAAGCUCGCGAGGGCCUAACCUAGCUGCGCCACAGCUGCCGAUGCGCAAAUCAGGCGCAACGCAAAGGAACGACUCCAGACUACGGAGAUAAGUCUUGCGCUUGGAACAACUAAUCGUUGCAACGCAAAAUUUUCACUUGUUGUGGCUCUGUAAUGGCAACGUUGCCUUCCUUUAUCACCUCUAGGCGGCUGCUUGCACGCUAAAGGGGACCUCCUGAGCAUUGCGCCUCAGGGGCUCUUACUGGACCUCGGGCCGCUCACCUCCUGGCCUUGACCACGGCAUCACGACCUGGCAUACCAGCGACGGCUGCAGCCUGCCUGGGGACCGGGACCUGUCAGCAUAGAGCACCAAGUCGUCGCGAGGUUAGAAAGGGGGAACCAAGCCGGGACAGAACGAGCGCUCACAUGAUUUCAUAAUAAGGAUAACAUCAACAGAGGACAUCGCAGACCCUUUACACGCCCCCGCGGUGUGUUUUCUCGAUUCCUCGCAGGGAACAAAGGACGAGAAUCCUAAGGAGCCCUAACUACCCGCGCCUCCAUGGCCGACGCCAUCAUCAACAGUGGGCCACAAGAGACCGGCGCCAACCCCAUCCACAUCAGCCGCAACGAUGUCCUAAUGCUGCCGCCCUGCCCCGAGCAUAGCGCGAGCUCGGGGGCACGUAGCUAUCGUCGCUCGUAUUCAGAGUCUCGAAGAGCACAGAAGAGUCGCUGCCGCUGCCGAAGGAGCCUUUGGGGGAGCGAACGGCAGGCCCAGCUCCUGCCGCGACGAUCUCCCAACUGCCCCCUCCGGGGCAGCAUUCCAGGCGGUGGCCUUCCGCGUUAAAGACAUUGAAGAACAACAUGGAGGCGCCGUCGUACUCGAAAUGGAUCACGAGGGCGCCUCCUGUUCAGCAGGCCCGGGAGACCUCGCCCCAGCCUCGGGUCAUGAAUACCUUCCCGGGGCAACGACUUCAACCUCCGCUCCGGUCGCUAGAGCGCUGCAGCUGGUGUGCUGCAGCCAAAGCUUGAGAGGCCCCCUCAGCGGCAUCUCGGUGGCGAAGAACGAAGGGAAGCGGAUCCAGGUGCUUGGAGGCAUCACCGCAUGCAGCACGAGCUCGCGAGAGGAGUCCGCAGCGUGGACUCCAGGAGCGACGGCGCGCGCCGCCACGGCUCGUCGACCUCGCCUGCGGCGUGGGCGGCGUCGCUCGCCAUCCGUUUCUCCGGAGCCCUCGGCUUGGGCGUACAGGGGUAGCGGGAACCCAGGAGGUGGUCGCUCGCACCAAGGCCUCGUCAUCUCCAGCCUCGCAAUCUCGUCGCGGUGGCGGUGGGCCGGCCUCUUAUUCGGCGGGAGCAGAUCAGGUCCCUCCCGGGGAGCCUUCCCCUUCUCUUCGGCCAAGAAUCUACGGAUCGGUGCCAUUGGCAUGAAGAAUGGCGAUGGAGCAAGGGAGAAGAAGCAGGCGGAGCAAGAAGAGAUGGGCAACGGGGGCUCUCACCCCUCCUCAUUUAUAUUCCUAGGCAGGCCAACCGUCUACCUCCACGAUCGCAGGUAAUGAUGACUCUUUUUGCAUGCAGCAGGAACUCGUCAAAUCGGGCAGUUGCCGAGGCAGCAUGGGAAAGCGGAGACGCCCACGCCCAAUCAGUCGCCAUGCGUCAACCAAGGCCGCAGGCUGUUGGGGCCCGCGGUGCUCCGCACUUGCCCUUUGGCUUCGCUGCUAAGCCAAGUCCGAGCAUGCCUUGGGCCCGGGGGCUACUGUCGGCGUUCUGGGAACGGGGGUCCCCAAACUUGCCUGCCUAUGGCCUGCUGCGUGGCUCAACUAGUGGCCCAGUACGACCCGUUUUCAUCGACCAAACACUCAAGACCCUCGCGAGGGGCCAAGCCUCACAGGGCGGACGACGCAAGGCCUCCUUAGCAGUGGCCUCACCAGGCAGGCUCACGAGGAGGUGGAGAGAUCAAGGCAAGGGGUACCUCACGAGGUUCCCGAGAUGCAAGCCAUGACGAUCAAGACCAGGCGGGCGCCAGCCCGCGCAGUGUCGUCGUUUCCCCUUUGGUGCUAAGGGGGCAAGCGCAAGAGCGGAGUACCGAGGCAUCAGGCAAAGGUUUCCAUAUCAGUGCAACAAAACCAAGACUAGCAGGACGGAGGACAGCGUGGAGCCCAAGACAUCAUCAUCACCAGCUCCUUUGGCAGGCGAAGACCACCUUUAGUCAGGAUAGCUUGUACUAGCUGUCCCCUUUCAAAAUGGCCGUUGUCGGCUCCCUUCCCGCUCAAUAUUUGGGAAGAGGACCAGGGCCUCUAUAAAUAGGGCUAGCCAUCACAGUAGAGGGACAUCUGAUCCAAGGGCGAUGGAUCGAAUCCUUCCAAAGUAGAACACCACACCAGCUCAAGAACACCUCUCCUCGCGAGGCCGUUCUUCCCUUGUACUGUUCAUCAUCAUCCCAAGAGGCAAUCCACCACCACACACAGGAGUAGGGUAUUACACCACAACGGUGGCCCGAACCUGUAUAAAUCUUGUGUCUCUUGUGGUGUGAGUUCAUCGUGUUAGCUUAGAGAUCGCAGCGAGGCUGAGGGCGUGUUUCGGUAGGGAGAAAUCUUCGUGCGCACCCUAGUGUUCGAACCUUAAGGGUUUUGCCGGAACCCGAUAUCCGACACCAGACCCCUCCCGAUGAAUAGGAUCCUGUUUCGACCAUAGGCGGUCGAACACAAGGUCGUUUCCUCCGUUCUGCGGUACGCUAGGCCUUGUUUCGAUUGGCUGUUCCAUCCAAGCCGGUUGCCUCCCGAUUAACACGACGACGCAGUUUCUCCAUUGCGACCCAGCCGGUUGGCUACCGAUGAAUAGGACACCAUCGCUGCCUCUCCAUGUACACGAGCCCUGGCCGUACAUAUGCGCGAGUAGGCGUUCGAGACCCCGCCCGUAUGUACGCAUGUGGCUGUAUUUACUUUCUUGCACCUUGGCUGUACGUACAUGCACAUGCUACGUGCGCGCUUCUACUACGACACGUGCCCUUCCUUACUCGGCCACGGUUCAUUGCUGCACCCUUCAGGCAGACCGAUCGACCAGUAUGUACAUACAUGUUCGCGACCAGAAUGGCAACGCUACGUAUGCUUCGACCAGGUGGGUCCCGACUGUCAGGCACUUCCUUGCAUGCGAAGAUGUAGCUUGUGGGUCCUAGCAGUCAGGGGGGAAACGUUUUUUAAGUGAAAUACGGUGGCCCGUCUGGUGGGUCCCUGCUAUCAGGUGGAGGAAUCAUUAGUUUGCGCGUAAUAAGGAGGCACUUGCUUGCUGUGGCCGUGGACCCAGCUGUCAGCCUUUCCAUGUACAGUACUCUUCCAAUGGAAGUCGUUGCUUGACCACAUUGACCACGCCGCACCGAGAGCACCAAGGCGGUGGACGACGGCGAGGCCUAGGAAGGGGACGACGCGGAGCGGGGAAGAUGCGGCAGUGGAUGCCCACGUGGAGAGGAGAACGAGGGUUCACUGGUUCGGCUGCGGUGUGAGUAGAUGGAUAGCCUGGCUAGCGGUGGGAGUAGUGGGGGGCGGUGAGGACUCCACGGCAGCACAGCCGACCAUGGGAGGCAGGAGUAGGCGGCACGACCGGCGCUGGUUUGGGCGGCUGGAGCAAGAAGACCAGAGGUUGAAGAAGAACUACGGCUGUUGGAUGAACAUUGUACGGUCAGUAGAGGUAGAAUCAUUCAUAUUAACUAAGUUGACAAAGCCCUCCGCCCGCGUCAACUUAGUAGGCCCACAAGUCAGCCUCCGAACUGGUGCGCCCCAGAUGUCAGUGGGAGGAAUCAUUUUUUUCCCGUAAUAAGGAGGCAGUUGAUUGCGUGCGGCCAUGCCAGUGGAGGGAGUAGGGUGGGCCGGUGAAGCCUGUGCGGCAUCACAGCGGGCCACAAGAGGAGGGAGCAGGCAGUCCCGUCGGCGCUGGUUUAGGUGGCUGGAGCAGGAAGAUCGAAGAUUGAAGAAGCACGUCGGCCGUUGGAUGAACAUCCAACAGUCAGUGCUGCUAGAAUCGUGUGUUGACCGACAAAGCCUUGCGUAACAAAGCCAGCCUCGAAAACUAUGGCGUGUACAACCCAUUUGUUAUUAUUUUUAUAAUUUUUACUCAUUUUCUAAUUCAAAUGGAAUUUAUUGCAGCCCAUUUUCCAUUUUUAGAAUUGCCGCCCAUUUUUUGGUCAGUGCCAGGGUUAAAAAAUUGAACUAAAAAAUGUGCGAAAUUUUAAAAUUUUGCAUAUUUUUGCUGGGAACAAAAUAUUCUUAAUCCAAAAAUUAGUAGCCAUACUAAAACAAAUUUAAAAAUAAAUUAGUACUAUAUCAUGUUAAAAUCCAAUGAAAUAUAAAAUAUCCGUGAAGAACAAAAACAAAAAAGAAACUAAUUGCCCAUUUGCUAUAAUUUUUUUGGAAUUUGCAACCCCUUUGAUAUUACUUUUAGGAUAUACUGACCAUACUGUUUGGCCAGGCCAGAAUGCAUCCCUCCUCGUCUUGAAAGAUUUGCAGCCCAGUAAGUCGGAGAAAACAAAUAGGCCUAGCUUGGGUAUUCUUCAAAAAGAAAUAGUGGGCUACCUAUUUUCCCAAAGAAAAAACUGUUGGGCUAGUCAUAUUGUUAGGUGGGCCACAGAGACCGCACAACCCAGUUUAUAGCCUGCUCCUCUGAACAAAUCCUCAAAAAAAUGUUGUGCAAUUUUGUCUUGAAUUGAGUAUACGUUGACUACGAUAUGGGUCCCAAAUAUCAAUAGGGUGGAUUAGAGUAAAAAAUGAGGGGUGCAUCUUAGUAGUAAAAGAGGUGCUUGCUUGUGUUCGGGAGUGGACCGGGUGGGUCCGUACUUUCAUACUCACAACUACAGUCCUCUCCCGAUUCACUAUGUUGACAAGGCCGGACGGUGGCACCGCGGCGAGCGCACCAAGGCGGAAGAUAAAGUGUGAUCGCCAAUGUGUUGGCAUGGGUUGGACAUUCUUAUUGAUGGUUGCAGGAACUAUUUACGAUGUUAUUAUGAUUUUCAUGGGUUCGCUGGUUGCAGGAAAAAAUGGUGGGAGAAAGAAGACUGGUCGCUAUCUUUGCCUAAGAAUAAUAUCUACUGAAUGUAACGGCACUAUCAUAGAAAAUAAUGUCCUCCUGUUAAAAUUUGACUUUUCAAAUCAUGAAUUUAAAGAACUCGUGCAUGAACAUUUAGCUUUAUUUAUUUAGUUAUUUAGUUAUUCAUGUUUAGGGGACCAUGAGCAUGUACCUGGGCCGGAUUCAUGUGAGAGCCUCCCUUCUAGUUAAUUAUGGCCUCCUCUAUUGGGCCUUCAUCAAUGAGUUGCAUGUUAUCGACAAGUGGAAAAUGUGUUCCGUACCAAAAAUAGUAUGCGCUAUGUACAGUACGUGGCACUAAAGGAUCAGACUGUGCAAUGACUUCCAAAACAUUGUGUUUGUCGUUCCAAUAACAUAUUUAUUCAACCAACAGAUGAGAUAUACUACUGAUUGUACAUUGAAAACAGCAGCAACAGCAAUCAGGGCUGGGGAUGCAACAGAAGCAGUAAGCAGGCCAGAAGAGCAAAGACGCAGCUCUCUCUUCCAAACCAAACAUGAGCCAUCAUUACAAAAGGGCUACCAAAAAGGAACAAAUGUAUGCAUCAAACUAAAUAAAGAUCCUACUACACUAAGUGUACGCAUCUAACUAACUGGCUCAGUUAGACGUUACUAUUUAUUAAGCUGUGGAGAUUGGCUGACGGCUUGAACCAGAUGGGUGCCUGACGGGGGAAACUCCAGCCAGCAGAUCGAAGUUUGAUACUUGUGACCCUCUCUCCUACUUUGGGCUGCAGAGCGUGGCGGCACAUAUCAAGGUAUGGUGCAUGAAGAGACGCAUGGUACGCUGUGUACACACAGUUUUGCCUGAUGAACGAAACCGUGCUGCCAUCAUGAUCCUUGUCGUCGGUUGUCUCCUGGUUAAUUGGAUAAUUCAGUCCGAGAAAUAGAGAACGUGUACCAAGGCUACUUACUAGCCGCCAGUAAAAAAAUCCUGAAGUCCCAGAGAAGCUGGGAUCCUUCUUAAAGACCUUGUAUUGACUUUGAUUGUAUUCCGCGAAACAACACGUCCUGUACGUGCGAAUGAUCAUCAAUCAUUCGCGGUUGUCUGAUCGAGCCAGGAACCACCUGUAACUGUCAUGUCGCUUUUCUUUGAAAGGUUCUGGGAUUAGGAAGGGUCGGGACACCAGGUGGCCUACAACAUCAUAUCAAGUUGGAGUCAAAUAAAAAAGGGCUCUUACUGUAGUCGAUCUUAAAAACAACAUGUUAUGAGCAUGAAUAUUUUUUAGUAAAUGUUGACAGUAAUAUAAGAAGGCCAUCAUGAUAUCAUAGAAAAGUAACAUACUGCUGUAACAGCCGUUUGUAGCGAUGAGUAGAGUAGGCCAGCAAUAUGUCCAACCAUAGAAGGAGUCGACAUCAUAAAUGAAUCCCUUGUGUUCAAUGACAUCAGAGAACCAUGGAGGAUGUAUGAUCCGAUGGACGUGCAGAUUUAUCCAUUUACCACAGCGACCUGUCAGAUAGGUGAAACCGCGGUUGAAGAACACAAUUAGCCUGAAGUCUUUAUAAUUCACAGAUCUUGUGGGCACUUGGCAGAUUACAACCUUGAGCAAAUCAAACUUGGUAUCAUGUUGUCUACUGUAAGAUUCCGAGUAUUCUGGGCCACGGUGCCAAAGUAGUGCAGUUUUAAUCAAAGGAAGGGGGAUCAAUCGCCGGGUGUAGACCUCCACAAGCAUCCAGCUGCCGCAACCAUCGACGAGCACCAUCCAAGAUGUGUUCAUCCCGACCCGGUACAUACCGUUAAUGUAGUUGAGGGUGACAAGGAUCAGAUCGCAGUCAAGGGGGUUGAUGCUCGCCACCCUACAAUCGUUAUGCUACGUCACAUGCCGUUUCUGAAGAUCAGGCGACAUCAGCAAGCAAGGAGCUCGCUUAAAAAGCUCUGGCCUAAGGGCUUUGACUAAACGGUACAUCCCCACGAGCACGCGGCGAGCGGCAUGGUACUGAGAUUAUCCACUCGCGAAACAAUGAGCUUGAUUACCUCUGUGGGGAGCGAAUUCCAGCCACUCUUUCAGCGGAAGCUGCUCGGUUCUGCCAUUUUUAGUGCUUGGGUUUCAGAAGAGGGGGGAGGCGCCUUAGCGGGGAUGGAAGAAGAUUAGAUGAUCAUGUGCGGACAAAGAUGAAGAAGCGAAUAUGUGCUGUGGGAAGUGGAUAGGUGAUGAUGACUACAGCACGCCGCUUGACUUAUGAGACACAUACCAGCCGCGUAGGGUCAUAUCGAUGCCAGACAACUUGCUUGAGUGAUCACAGUACUAGUACUCCCUACAGUACCUACUACUAUGCCCUAGUUUGCAUAUAGAGUAGUGGAGUAGGACUCUGCUCUACUACUAGCACCGGAGGAGUAGUAUAUUCUAAUCUAAAAUAGUUACAAAUUUCAAUGCCCGAGUGUGGAACGACUAUGAACCGCCAUCGGUGCUUACUCCAAUCCCCAACAAACGUUCGCUGGGACACAUGGUAGUUGCAAAUGCCCGCGACGCAGUUAUAGUGCGUGUGUAAGGGUGGAGGUUUUUCCAAAUACUAUGGCUUAAAAAUAGGGCACCGUCAGAUGGAAAUCUAACGGUUACGUGGGAUUCGCCAGGAUUGAGGUCGUGGCGAACAAUCGCCAGAUAUCAUUACUAAAAAAAGGUUAAAACACCCAGGACUAUAACUUGCACCGGUUAUUAACAUAGUUGUAAAAUGGUCAAAGACCGUGUCUACAUGGUGUUUGGAAUUUAUAUGCAAAAAACUAGCAAGAUGCCCGUGCAUUGCACGGAACAUCAGAUGCAUUUUUUUAAAAAACAUUUGUUGUGAUUGACUCAUGCAGGAGUAAUCCCAUGUGUAAAAACUAAUGAUAUCUCGAGAAUUUUAUCGAAAAAAUGGUAACUUGAAAAUUUCAUCGCAAAAAUGAUAUCUCGAGAAAGAUGAGAGAUAAGGUGAGGAGGAGAGGGGCGUGGUGGUCGGAUUGGGCGGAGGCAUGGGCAUGGACGGCGCCGGCAGCGGCCACCAUGCCAGAUUGUUCUAGAGACUUCCUUUUUUAACCGCUCAACAAUGAGGUUGUGGGAGAUAAGGAUGAACGAGGCAAGGCCUUAUCUGUAAAUGUGGAGAGAUGUGCGGGUAUCUUUUGUAAAAUGGUCAUAGUUUUCUUUCUAUCAGUCAGAUAUAGAUCGGACGGUCUAUAUUACAAGAUGAUAUGCACACCAUCAUCACCAACUCGGCCCCUCGUGCUCCUAGUAGUAGUACUCAAGUUGGAAUUCCAAUUGCACGGCACAAUUUGUUAGGCAAAAAAACGAUACAGGGUGUAGGAAGUGGUUUGGGAAUUUGCAUGCCUUCCCGACCAUUGAGAUACUCCGUACAAAGCACUGUUCAAGAUAUCUUCCGAUAUUCCGAUAAAUCGGCCGAUUUAUCGCUUAUCGUGGUCAGACCGAUAAGAUAAAUCGACCGAUAAAUCAACCGAUAUGGCGAUAAAUCGGCCGAUAUGCCGAUAAACUGACCGAUUUACCCCUUAUCGUAGGUCGACCGAUAAGUUCCCGAUAAGCGAUAUCCCCAACAUUGGUACAAAGUAUGAUAGAGAAAUAACCACGGAGAAGGAAGCUAAAAGUAAACAAUCAAACGAGCAUUUUUGCAUUUGUUUUGCAUUGAAUUAUUUCAGAAGCUUGACUAGUGUUGUUUUUCUAAUUUUACAAAAACCGCAUCGUAAUGUUAAAAUGUGCAUUUGCACGUACAUAAGUAAUAGUAGUAGCAAAGUUUGCAAGCAUAGAGAGAGAGACGUAUAGUGCGAUAGUAUAUAGUAAAGUUUGUGCUAUAUGCAUGUACUUACAAAAUGCAUACAAAUACACAAGGUUUCCAAACUUUUCCUUUUACAUAUUUAAUUAAGGAUUCUAAUAAUUCCCGAACAUUCGGGAUUUCUCAUUUGCGUCCCAAAACUAAUGAGAUCGCCUUACGAAAUUAAAUUAUAUUCCUAAUAAAAGCCACGACGCUCGCAGAAGCGCUUGCGGCGCACCACAAGUGCCCUGGUGCGCGGUCGUUUCCAAAUGCGCCGACACAACGCCUAUUCCUCAGCCUGGCAACUCGCGAGGUGCUGAUUGGCGGCUUGCCGGCGGGCGAGCGCGAUCUCAUCGGUGUGGUGAUCCGGCGCCAACAUGUACUCCUCCUCGAUGGAAGCAUGCACCCGGUCCAUGUACCGCCAAGCGUAGAUGAGGCGCUUGGGCCCGAUUGCACUCAGGGCUUUGGCACGGGCUUCCUCCGCCACCCUCACGGCCCUCGCACGAGCCUUCUGCCAAAAAGCCAAUUGCCUGACUCUCUCGGACGCGACAUAGGCCUGCCAGGCAGCAUGCCUUGUGGCGCGCUUCUCUUCCUCGGCCUUCUUCUCCGCCUCUAUUUUGGCGCGCUGUGCCGGAGGCAAAGCCUCCCACAAGGCGACAUCCAUUUCUUUCCAAAGCUCCUCAAGGCUGGGGGGGGGGGCUCGGCGGGCGGCGCGGCAUUCUUGUAACGCCCCUGUUUCGAUGCGCCAGGUGUCUGCCAGUUAUUCGCCAUCCUUGCCAUGUCAUUUGUUUGCGUGUUGCUUUUUGUCAUGUCAUCAUGUGCAUCUCUUUUUGCAUACGUGUUCAUCUCAUGCAUCCGAGCAUUUUCCCCGUUGUCCGUUUUGCAAUCCGGCACUCCUAUGCCCUCCGGUGUUCCCUUUUGUCUCCUGUUGUGAACGGGUGUUAAACAUUCUCGGAAUGGAAAGUGAUUUUCCGAGUGGCCUUGGUAGAGCACCGGUAGACCGCCCGUCAAAUUUCAUUCCAUUUGGAGGUCGUUUGAUGCCCCAAUGUUUAACCGGGUAGCCGCAAAAGCCUCUUUUGUGUGUAGCCCAACACCCCUCCAAAGUGGCCCAUGAGCCCAUCCAUGGUAACUUUGAGUCUCUUUAGGAUAGUAUCGCAUAUUGGGCGUGACAAGUUGGUAUCAGAGCCUCGACCGACCUUCGGAGCCCCCCUUGAUUGGUCGUGUAGUUUGGUCGUUGUCAACUCUAGAAGAAAACUGUUUUCGGAGUCUAGUUAUAUCGGAGAGUAGGAAUUCUUUUUACUCCUCAGCCCCUUCGUCGCUCUGGUGAGGAAUCUUGACGUAGGUGUUUUGAACUACUCCUCUUCCCCGUCAAAUUUUUCUUUAGGAUCACGCAGUUGGUUUUCCGACCGUUGGUUCUCAGCUCUUUGCAUCCGGUGCAUUUCUCGUCAAGUUGACUCGAGCCUCUUCAUCUUUGCCAAGUUCAAUCCUCAGUUGUUUUCUUUUUCCCACCCGACCACCCCUUUUCUUCUCGAAGCCGGAGUCCCUAAUCGAGUAUCCAUCCUACUCGUGCGAAGUCUUUGCAUCCUUUCCUCAAUCAUUUCAACCGGUGUUUUUUUUCUCUUCAAGUAUUUGUCGGUUUCCCCUUCCAAGUUGCCUUUGUUUUUCCCGCCCUCCCACCCUUUUUCUUCCGGAGCCUGAGUCUCUUUCGACCAUCAAUGUCAUUCGUGUGGAGCCUCUUCAGUCUUUCAUCAAUUGUUCCAACCGGUGAAUUCUCUUUUGUUUGACAUUCUUCAUCUCUUUUUCUUUCCGGUGGAUUCAAUUCAAGUUUUUUGGGUUGAUCAUAUUCUUUUCCAUAGCUCAAGUGUUUUCCCUGCUCGUUUGCCUCUCGCCAUUCAAUCAUCCCGGAGUUCGGAAGACAUCUCAGGAGAUUCGUCAGUGUUCCAAUUAAUUCGAGGUGGUCACCUCAUUCAAAUAUUUCAAUUGUUCUGGUGCAUCAACUCCUCUUCAAUCCUUUCCAAUGGUGUUUUCUUUUAGUGGGCCGUAACCCACAGGUCUUUUCCCAGGAUCUUACCUGACUCUUCUAAUUAUUCCGGAGCUAUUCCCAAAUUCUUUUCAAAGUGUGACGUAAGAAUGAAUUUCAUCAGUCACAUGCCUUCUCCAAGAUCGCUUUCAAAAUUCUUUUCAUUGUUGGCUCAACCUUUUCGGUAUUCAUUCUCCCGGAGCAUCUUAACAAAUUUUGGUGGGGUUUCUCGUCGUCAUUUGAAGACAGAAGAAGAGUUUUUCCUCUAAAUCUUAUCCGUUCUCUCGAAGUUUCGUGGUUCUAGCUUCAUGUUAUCCUCUCAAAUUAUUCCAUUUGUCAGAUAUUCCUUUUCUUACCCAUCUGGAGUAUGUCAGAAGUUCUUUUCCCAUUUCUUUUCACCAGAGGCCAUCAUUCCAGAAGAAUUCUUUGUCCUCACAUUUCAGCUACCGUUAUCCAAUUAUCCCGGUGCUUCGUUCAAGUGUUCUUUAAUCAGCUCAUGAUCUCUUUGUUCUUUUGCAUCUAAAUCCCCUCUAGUAUAUUGGUUCUUCUAAUUCUUCCCGGUGAUUCAUUCUCUUUCAUCGGUCAUUUUCGAAUUCUUACGGUGGUUCGUCCAAGAUUCUUUUUCCUUGAUUAUCAUAUUAGUUAAUUCGUUCUUUUCAAUCCUACCGGUGAUUCAUGAAGACUUUCUCAAGUUUUGUGCUAUACUCUCCUUAAUCCUUUUCAAGAAGAAUAAGUAGUAUGUAAAAUCCGUUGCUUGUCAUCAAUUUAAUUUGAUGAAGGAUAAGCAUACAAUAAAUCUUAUUCUUAUUUCAUCCAAGUAAGUAAUCCCUUUCUUCGGAGUUUGUUCUUGUGAAUAAAUUCUAGUUCCAAGUGUUUUCAUCUUUUCUUUUCCGGAGUUCAAAUUUCCUCGGCCAUUUCGUCGGAACCUCCAUCUAAAUCACCGCAAGCCUCAUCUUAUUCUUUCUUCCUUCAUUCUAUCUCAUCAUAUUUUUGUCACCGGAGUUCUUCAUGGUGGUUCUUCAUGAUUUAAUUCAUUCUUCAAGAGUUCAUCAAGAUUCUUGUUGGUGGAGUUCAAGUAUCUUUUCUUCUCACGUCUCAAAGUGCAAUUAAUUCUCCGUAUUCUUUUAAAGUGGAGUUUUGCAUUUCUUCGUUCUUCUCGGCUAUUUAAUCCUUUUCGCUUGUGGUCGGAGAUCACCUCAUAAUUUUGAAAUGUUAUCUAUAAGUCCACAACAAGCAAUUCUUCUGUUGUUGAUUUCUCAACAACUUCGUUCAAUCUUCUCUUCAUAAGGAUACUUUUCAAAGUCAUUUGUGGUAGAAGCUGCCUUCUUCUUCUUCGUUCCUUUUCAUUCCACUAUUUCAAUUCUUCUGGAGGCAUUGUGUUGUUCCUCUCGGCAAGUAUAAUUCCAUCUUCUCAAGUUCAUGUUCUAUUCUUUCCCUUGUUCAGCCAGAGUGUUUCCUAAAUCCUUUUAGUCUUAUUCGUUUCUUAUCUCAUUCUAACAUGAGUGGUUUCAUAGUCUAUUUGAUUCCGUGAGCUUUCGAUUCUCGUCAUUCUCGUCGUUCCUCUCUUCUUCUCGAGUGCUCUCGAUUCUUUGCUUCUUCUCUUGAGUUCUUGUUUCACUCAUCCCUUUUCCCUUCCGUCUCGGUCCUAAGAUCUCGGGACGAGAUCUCUUGUUAGUGGAGGAUUGUUGUAACGCCCCGGUUUCGAUGCGCCAGGUGUCUGCCAGUUAUUCGCCGUCCUUGCCAUGUCAUUUGUUUGCGUGUUGCUUUUUGUCGUGUCAUCAUGUGCAUCUCUUUUUGCAUACGUGUUUGUCUCAUGCAUCCGAGCAUUUUCCCCGUUGUCCGUUUUGCAAUCCGGCACUCCUAUGCCCUCCGGCGUUCCCUUUUGUCUCCUGUUGUGAGCGGGUGUUAAACAUUCUCGGAAUAGACCGUGAUUUUCCGAGUGGCCUUGCUAUAGCACCGGUAGACCGCCCGUCAAAUUUCGUUCCAUUUGGAGGUCGUUUGAUGCCCCAACGGUUAACCGGGUAGCCGCAAAAGCCUCUUUUGUGUGCAUCCCAACACCCCUCCAAAGUGGCCCAUGAGCCCAUCCAAACCCCCUCCAUGCUCUCGAUCGUUCGAUCACGAUCGAGUGGCCGAAAACCGCUCCUCAUUUGGACUCUCCUAGCUCCCAGAAUCUAUAAAUAAGUCCCCUCCCCCGAAAUUCGCGGUGCAAACCCUAGCGUCUUCCUCCUCGCGCCGCCGGACACAUCCGUCCGUGCCGGACAUGUCCGCCGAACACGUCGCUCCGGCCAACCACAAGUCGACACAUCAUCGCCGCCGCCUCCCGCUCCAACCCCGUCUCGCCACCUGUCCCGCCGCUCCUCCGCACCGCGCCAGGCCCACCGGGCCCGGAUCGGGCCCGCGGGGCCCAUCCCGCCACCGCGGGCGCUGCCCCNNNNNNNNNNNNNNNNNNNNNNNNNNNNNNNNNNNNNNNNNNNNNNNNNNNNNNNNNNNNNNNNNNNNNNNNNNNNNNNNNNNNNNNNNNNNNNNNNNNNNNNNNNNNNNNNNNNNNNNNNNNNNNNNNNNNNNNNNNNNNNNNNNNNNNNNNNNNNNNNNNNNNNNNNNNNNNNNNNNNNNNNNNNNNNNNNNNNNNNNNNNNNNNNNNNNNNNNNNNNNNNNNNNNNNNNNNNNNNNNNNNNNNNNNNNNNNNNNNNNNNNNNNNNNNNNNNNNNNNNNNNNNNNNNNNNNNNNNNNNNNNNNNNNNNNNNNNNNNNNNNNNNNNNNNNNNNNNNNNNNNNNNNNNNNNNNNNNNNNNNNNNNNNNNNNNNNNNNNNNNNNNNNNNNNNNNNNNNNNNNNNNNNNNNNNNNNNGUCGCCGGUCCUUGUCCCCGCCGCCAGCGCCUCCCGCUCGCGCCCGGGUGCCCCGCGCCGCCGGAGCCCAUCGGGCUCGCCGGAGCACGCCGGCGCCGCCCCGCCGCUUCACUCUGGAGCUUGCCUCCCCGCGCCUCGCCGGAGCUUCUCACCGCCGGGAACGGGAUCCCCGGGUCCGGAUCCGGCCAGAUCCGGCCACCCCUGGCCUCCUCCGCCCUUCCCCGUGCCUCGCCGGACUGCCCCGACCCACCGGAGCCACUGCCGCCCGCAUUGACUUCGCCCCCCUCUCGAGGUUGAUUUCUGCCAAGUCCCCAAAAACUCAUAAAAUGUUGCAUUCUUUGACCUGCUGUAACUUCAUGUGUGUGGCUCCGUUUGCUGAGUGUAAUAUGUCAAAAUGUUCUUUGUGAGAUGCUAUUCAUUUCAUUCCAUUAUGCCAUGCUUGUUUGAGUCCAUCUUGAUGCCCAAAUCAUCGUCGCAAGAGUGCUAUAUGAUGUUAAUCUGCUGAAACUGUUAUAACUUGAUGAUUGGUCAUUUUUGUUGAAUUUGAUGUGUGCAUCUUAUGAGCUUGAGCCCUACAUGUGUUUUGAGAUACAUCAUGCCAUCUUUACAGUGGUGUCAUCCAUGUAUUUUUGUGAGCCUUGUAGUGAGUGCAUUGAGCUCGUGAAGUAGGGUACUUGCUGUUGCUGGUUUGCUAGGUUGAUUCUGUUAUAUUAUGAGGCUAUGUUAACCUGCUGCUAAAAGUCAUUCUAUGCAUAAUCUGGAGAUGUUCACUAAGGAUGUUUUGUUAUACAUGUCAUGCUCUAUCCAUUCAUGCCCCUAGUUGCAUUUAUAGCCUGCUGUAACUUGUUGUUAUCUUGCUCCAAACUUGCUAAAUAAUGUUGCUGUCACACUGUUAACUUUAAGUUCAAUGUUGCCAUGAUUGUUGUUAGUAAUCCAAGCAUGCUAUGAACUUGCUAUUGCCAUGUAUAGCUUCAUAAAUAUGCCAUCUUGCUGUUGGUCACCUUGGCAUGCCAUGUAAUUCUCUGUGGUGAGUGGUAUAAGCUCACCAACAUGCCUACUUAUUGUUGUUCCUGCCAUGUCUAAGUCUGUCAUAUUACUUGCUAUGUUUACAUGGGUUCCAUCAUAUCGUCUGUGCCUUUUUGGCUCAUGUUCAGUAAGGGACUUUCGUUCUAUGCUUUGAGUAGAAUCAUGCCAUGCUCUAGUUUGCCAUGAUAAGUUCUUGUAACAUGUUGUUUGAUAGCUCUAAACAUUGCAAGCUGAUGUUAUUUUCUGCUAACUCUGAAAUUGUUAUUAUUUGCAAUCUUGCCAUGUCCUUUUGAGCAUGUUCUAGUAGUUUCUGCAGAUGGAUCAGUGUUCAUGUUUUGUCAUGCUUUACCUGUACUUUAUGCCCAUGCCUUUUGUUAUUACGUUGAGAUACUGUAGCAUAUUGUUUUGAUGCUUGCAAUAUGCCUAGUUGCUGUUUUGGACAGCUUGUCCUUUAAACUUGUAUAGAGUGUAUGUGUUGAACCGUUGCUCCGUUUUGGGUGUGCUCUAUAUGAAACUUGCUUAGAUUUGCAUGUAGUUUCAUAUUAUCAUGUUGCAUCCUUGUCUUGAGGUGUUUGCUUGAUGUUUGGAUGCAUUUAGCAUCAAUGCCAUGUUUGACUUGUUUUGCUCAUAUCUUCUAGGCCAUAGCUCCGAAUUAAAUGAACUUUAUAUGUAACUUGACUAGAAUCUCGUGUAGAUCAUCUUGGUGCAUCUUAACUUGCUGUUUAACAACUUGAACAUAAGGUUUAUUCAGAUCUGUACCAACUUUGAAACUUGCAUAUGAGGACUUACCGGAAUUGUUAUAUGUUGUUUCCGGCCUCAUUUAACCUUGCUUUGAUGUGUUGUUCUUGUAUGCAUCAUCUCUUGCCAUGAGUAGUCUCAUCUAGAUUUGUCAUGCAUCAUGCUUGUUAUGCAUCAUGUCUUGUCUAUGUUUGGUGUGUUUACCAUGUUGUGUGCUUCUUCUCGAUAGUUCAUGUUUCAUUGCGAUUGUGAGGAUUCGUUCGUCUACGCUUGGUUCGUCUUCGUGGCUUCAUCUUCUUCAUGGACUCGUUCUUCUUCCUAGUGUGAUUUCAGGCAAGAUGACCGCUACCCUGGAUCUCACUACUAUCAUUGCUAUGCUAGUUGCUUUGUUCUAUCGCUUUGCUGCGCUACCUAUCACUUGCUCUUCAAGCCUCCCAAUUUGCCAUGUCAGCCUCUAACCUUUUCACCCUUCCUAGCAAACCGUUGCUUUGAUAUGUUACCGCUUUUGGCUCAACCCCUCUUAUAGCGUUGUUAGUUGCAGGUGCAGUUGAAGAUUGCUCCAUGGUGGACAGGAUUAUGUUGGGAUAUCACAAUAUCUCUUAUUUAAUUAAUGCAUCUAUAUACUUGGUAAAGGGUGGAAGGCUCGGCCUUAUGUCUGGUGUUUUGUUCCACUCUUGCUGCCCUAGUUUCCGUCAUACCGGUGUUAUGUUCCCGGAUUUUGCGUUCCUUACGCGGUUGGGUGAUUUAUGGGACCCCCUUGACAGUUCGCUUUGAAUAGAACUCCUCCAGCAAGGCCCAACCUUGGUUUUACCAUUUGCCUCACCACCACCUAUACCCUUCCCUUGGGUCGGCCAACCCGAGGGUCAUCUUUAUUUUAGCCCCCCCGGACCAGUGCUUGUCUAAGUGCUGGUCCAAACCGAGUAGACUGCAGGGCCCCCUCGAGGAAACUCGAGGUCUGGUUUUACUCAUAGGAUGUCUCAUCCGGUGUUGCCCUGAGAACAAGAUAUGUGCAGCUCCUAUCGGGAUUGUCGGCACAUCGGGCGGCUUUGCUGGUCUUGUUUUACCAUUGUCGAACUGUCUUGUAAACCGGGAUUCCGAGACUGAUCGGGUCUUCCUGGGAGAAGGAAUAUCCUUUGUUGAUCGUGAGAGCUUAUCAUGGGCGAAGUUGGGACACCCCUGCAGGGUAUUAUCUUUCGAAAGCCGUGCCCGCGGUUAUGUGGCAGAUGGGAAUUUGUUAACGUCCGGUUGUAGAUAACUUGACACCUGAUUCGAAUUAAAACGCAUCAACCGUGUGUGUAGCCGUGAUGGUCUCUUCUCGGCGGAGUCCGGGAAGUGAACACGGUCUUUGGGUUAUGUUUGACGUAAGUAGGAGUUCAGGAUCACCUCUUGAUCAUUACUAGUUAACGACCGUUCCUUUGUUUCUCUUCUCGCUCUUAUUCGCGUAUGUUAGCCACCAUAUAUGCUUAGUCGCUGCUGCAACCUCACCACUUUACCCCUUCCUUACCCAUUAAGCUUUGCUAGUCUUGAUACCCAUGGUAAUGGGAUUGCUGAGUCCUCGUGGCUCACAGAUUACUACAACAACAGUUGCAGGUACAGGUUAUGCGAUGAUCAUGACGCGAGAGUGAUGUUUGCUUGUUUUGGAGUUCUUCUUCUGCUUCUUCUUCGAUCAGGGGAUAGGUUCCAGGUCGGCAGCCUGGGCUAGCAGGGUGGAUGUCGUUUGAGUUUCUGUUUGUGUUUCAUCCCUAGUCGGAUGGUGCUCUUAUGUAAGAUGAUGUUGUAUUUGUGUGGCAUUGUAUGCCUCUUGUAUGUAUCCCCAACUAUUAUGUAAUGUUCAUGUAAUGAUAUCCACCUUGCAAAAGCGUAUCAAUAUGCGGUUCUAUCCUUAGUGGGACCUUCGAAUCUCUUUAGGAUAGUAUCGCAUAUUGGGCGUGACAAUUCUCCUCGUAGCGGGGAGCCGACGCGUCCUUUGACACACGUGCUGGCGAGACUGGGAACACCGAUGUGUCCACCUCAACGCAUCGCGGCGAGGAGCGGAACACCAACACGUCCUCCUCAACUAGUGGCGGCGAGGAAUGGAACGGCGACGUGUGACCGUCCGCUCGGUGCAGCGAGGGGCGCCUAGGCCUUGGGUGGGACGAUGCCAUGGUGGUCGACCUGAGAGGGAGGGGGAGGAGAUAGCGAUGAACAUGAGCAUUCUCCCGAAUGCCAUGGGAGGCACAAUAUUUAUAGCAAGCAAUGGCACACCUAACUAAGAUAUGGACUGAGCUUCACUGACUUAACUGCAGGUGUAGUUGCGUCAUUGACUUGUGGGCCAGAUGCCUGUUAGGCCCACAUGUCAGUGACCCAAUGCACUUGUAGUUGAGUAACUAAAGCAUUGUCCCAUAAGAUAUGUUGCGUGAUUAAUGUAACAACUACGUGGGCAUAUUUGUUGGAGUAAAUUACGGGAGAGGGAAGGUGUGGAAAUAUUGCUGGUCACAACGGAUUGGACGAGUGCGGGGGGAGGAGAGUCAUGCAUGCAGAUUUUUUCCACAUGGGGUGGAGUGGUGGGACUGCCGGAGGGAGAAGGAGAGUCAAGUAGGCGUUCAGAUUUCAAGGUGCACUAAAUUAUUGCACGCGAUGAUUAAGGAUGUCCAUAGUGGUGGUAAUGUGGUAGUAUCUGGUAUCAUGCACACGGGAAUAGCAAACAUGCUGACGUGGCAAAGAAUUAAAGAAGAGAGGGGGGUUCGAGCAACAAAUCUAUAUAGGCCGUCCGAUCUAUAUCUAACGGAUAGGAAGGAAACUAUGACAAUUUACCCGCACUCCUCUCCACAUUUGCAAAUAAGGCCUUCCCUCAUUCAUCCUUUUCUCCCACAAUAUCUUGAUAUUCUGUGCAACGCAUGGACAUCUUUCUAUUGCAUGUAAAAAUCUUUGUCAUUUACUAGUGUUCAUGCAUGCAUGCAAUGCGAUAAUGUAUUGGUAAACACAUUUUUAUGAAGAGCGAGAGCAUUAAUUGAGCAUUUCAUGCAUGCAUGAACACUAGUGAAUGACAAAGAUUUUUACAUGCACUAGCACAUCAAGAUCUUGUGGGAGAAAAGGAUGAACGAGGGAAGGCCUUAUUUGCAAAUGUGGAGAGGGGUGUGAGUAUCUUUUUGCAAAAUUGCCAUAGUUUCCUUCCUAACCGUCGGAUAUAAAUUGGACGGCCUAUAUUGCAGGAUGGCAGGCACACCAUCAUCACCAACUCUGUUUUUAUAAGAGUAGAGAUAAAUAUAAAUAUAAAAUAAAUAUAAGAGUAGAGACAGCAGGGACGUCACGAAAGGAUCGCGCACGCGGGAAAAAGCUGCCGGGCGCGCGUUCGGCGCGCUUUAUAAAAUCCAACGCCCUCCCACCGCUCUGUGCCUUGCCACCUCUCUGUGCCUCGCCACCGCUCUUUGCCCGCUCUUUCUUGCCUUGCCGCAGCCGCGCCACCAUGCUGCCGCGUCGCUGGGAAACUUGGGGAUACCACGGCGUCCGCGUGCGCCCCUCAGAUCCAGUUCCACGGGAUGCGCCUCGGCCUCAGCACUUUUGACACUACCCACAAGGCCGCCCGCGCAUACGACACGGCGGCGUGGUGCCUCCCGUGGCCUCAUAGAACAUUGAACUUCCCCAACGUGCCAACACGGGAGCAGGCAAAGGAGCUCGUGCCUCCGCCGCGGCUUAUCACCGACGAGGAUCGUCAAGACAACCGGAGGCAGGAGCACAAUCUCAGCAUCACCGAGAUGGACGAGGAAGCAAUGGCGCUGUGGCGCCAACACUUCCCGCAGGACAACAUCAACGAGCACGAGUUCUACGCGCAAAGAAGUGCGGAGUGGGAGAAGAGGAGGCAGAGCACGCUGCCUAUCGCGAGGACAAGCGUACGCGGAAAGCGGCCACUCAAUUUAACAUGAGGCUAGGAGCAGCGUCGCCUUGGGACUCUGACGAUUAUCGGUAUCUUGACGCCUACAUUAGACGUCGGAGGAGGACAUCACCGAGGAGGAGGACAUCACCGAGGAGGAGUCAGACGACGAGGAGUAGUUGAUCUAUCUAUUUUCUUAUCUAUCUAUGCUGAGAACUAUCUAUGUCUCUACUCUCUACUCUCUAUCUCUACUUCUCUAUCUCAGCACUCCGGUCCCGCAAAACCUAGCUAUUCCGGCGCUGUAAACGCUUUUUUAACGCGCCGCGUGUUGCGCUUCUGUUGGAGAUGCUCUAACAUGGCAGACGAGUGCUUUAAUGUUGACCACAAGAUGCGUGAGUAUUACUAGUAUAUUUUUCUUACCAUGUUGAUAUUUUAAACCACGGGUGCGAACAUGCAGAGGAGCAAUGAAGACCAAACACGGGAUAUUGGGGACAUCUUCAAGGAGCGUGGCAAGUUAAAGAGGAGCUGCACCAAAGAGGAGCUGCACUAAACACGGGAUAAUGAGAUUUGGUAAGUAACACCCUUUCAAUUACUUUCGUUUAGCCUCGUGUUCUUCGAUGUGUCCAUCUUGUAGCGACCACGAUCCCAAUGGAUCGAAGUCUAUGUGCUUAAGUGUCAACCCUGGAUCAGUAUGCUGACACACACAGUACUCGAGGACUUAUAACAGAGUUCAGUCACACAAUUAUUACAUCGAGGUCCUCAUAAAGAGUAUUUAUUACACAAAUAAUAUGGUUGAAGGCCAUCUAAAUAAAAUAACCGCAGAAACUUCGAAGAUAAAUGAGUCCAUCAACUCCAAUGGCAUAGCUGAGUGCAUGACAACGACCUAUCACACCUUAUUGUUCGUCCGUAAAGUCUACAAUAUGAGAUGUUGCAGCCGUGUAGGUCAGCACAUGGAAUAUGCUGGCAGUGUUACACUGUAUAGCAAUUGAAUGCAAGAAACUAUAUCUACAUGCAUAUUUGGCUGGUGGAGGCUCUAAGUUUAAUGUUUUGCAUAAAGCUAAUUUUUCCCUACAACAAAGGAAUACAUUUUAUUUACUACAAAGUUUAUACCAAUGAUUGAGAAGGUUCCUCCAACUCAAAUCCCAAAAUUAACCAAGUAUUCAUCAUUAAACCCAAUACAUUAAUUAAAGAGUGAUGAGAUCAAUAAUAAUAUCUACCUCUAGAUACUCAAAUUGUCCAUAAUCGGGGACACAGCAAACCAUGAUUAGUUUAUACACUCUGCAGAGGUUACGCACUUUUCCCCAAAAGACUCGACCGCAUCCAUGAUCGGAAGAUCGAGACAUAGUCUUUCUGAAGCAUUAACUCUCUACUCUGGGUAGACCAGUACACCUACUUUCCCCUACAUCUGCUAGUCCACCUCUUCAAGAGCUCACACAACUUACUCAACUAUGCUAGAGCCCAUAAUGGCUUGUGGCUGCACAUGGAAGUUUCUAGGCAUGAAAUAUCAUAUGAUCCCUUUGAGCCUGGGUGGCGAACCGAGGGAAAAUCACACGGGUACUCCGGGAUUCCCAUGGGCAAGCACUGGUUUCUCCAGGUGCCCCAACCAAUCCACCCAGAUGUGUAUUAAAGUUGCCACCUUAAUGUUAUCCAAAAAUUAUUAUCUCUCACAACUUCCAUGAAUCUCAUGAACCAAUCCCCGUCUACGAGCAUGGCUAAGCAUUAUAUGAGCAUAAUGUAUAUUCCCGGGGUGAUCAAAGGUAAUAGGUUCCUACCUCAAGUACUACAACCAAACCACAUGUUCCCAAUCCUACUCAUGCAAAUCUUUGAGGGGCAAAACUAAUGCAUAGUAAAAAAAACUUGGUAUUGAAAAGUAUGAUCAAAGUGUAACUUGCCUUGCUGACGAUCGGAAAACACUAGAGAUUCGUAGUAACAAGCUUCGCACUCCGGAAAAUCUAGCGUAGACAAACAAUAGCAUACAUAAGCAAACAAGCAAACGAUGCAAAGAGAAAAUGAGAAAAGAUCCAAAGAAAACUCAAAAGCAAUCAAAUAAAUAAUCUAAACAGAAAAAAAUUCUAGCAGCAUUAUAAUUAUGUGGAUUAGAUCUUAACAGUGGGUAUAUGUGAUUAGCUACGAUUUGCAAAAAGAAUCAACUAAAACAGAGCUACGAAACUCAAGAUACGAACAAAACAAGAUCAAAUUCAAAUCUGAACUAAACUCAAAUUUUAAAUUGUCAAAAACAUGUUCAAGUUGAUUUACUAGAUAGAUGGGAUCACUCUGAAGAUUUAGGCGUUGGUUUCGUCGAAUUUGAACAAACGAGCAAAAAGUUACGAGGGUUUAAAGAUUAGGGGCUAAUCUGCAAAAAAUAUUCGUGCAUAGGUACCUGGCCGAAAACUAAAAGAAAAAGAAAAAUCUACCGGACGAACGUUCGCCACAGAACCUAAUCUAAUGAAUCUGUUCGUUUCAGAAACUAAAUGAACGAAUGUUCGCUAAAUAAACUAAUAAAAUGAAAUAAACUGAUCUAAAAAGAAAAACCGAAAAAAAUUGAUUGGACCGGUGAUUUAUACCGGUUCGACUGGUUCGAUGGCGGUGGCGGCAAAGUCGACGGCGGCUGGGGCGGCUUGUGCGAGGCAACAACGGCGGCUUGCGGGCGAGGCGAUGGCGGCAGCUUCCAUAGUCGGCGACAGCGAUGACUACGGCAGCGGCGGCGGCGGUGGCGACGGCGGCUUGCGGCGGCGCGGCUAGGCGACGGCAGUGGUGGCAUCAGCUUGGGGUGAGGAGGAGAUGGGCCGGGACGGGCUAUUUAAAGAGGGGGAGGGGAGGCGAGGCCAGCUUGCGGGAGGGGGCAGAGAGGCGGCGGCGCGGUUGGAGUCCGGGUCGGACACGGCCGCCGCCGGCGGCGCUGCUCGGGACUUCGUCCCGGGCGUGAGCGGGAGUGGCGGCUGGCGACUGGGCCGGCUGGGCUGGGUGCGGCCCAGUUCGGUCGGCCCGAACUCUUUUUUUUAAAACAAUUUUUCACAGAGACAAAACUAGCUAAAAUAAAUAUAAAUAAAAUCCUAAAAAUUCUAAAAAAAAAACUCAUGUGGCUAUUUGGCCUUAUUAGUGACCUAAUGAACAUUUUUCUGGGCCUAAAUGCCUAAACUAAAAACAAACAUUAUAGUACUAAUUACUCCGCUAACUAAUAAAUAAACUAGCAAAUAAAAUCAAAUAAACUCUCCAAAAAUUCAAAAUUCGUUUUCCAAUAUUUCUUUGCUGAUUUUGAAGAAGUCAUAUUAUCUUCUCUCUUUAUUUUACAACAAUUGGAAAAGAAUUUUGGAAAACAAUUUGAUCCAAUACCAAAUUUUGAUCAAAAUUGGAUUUUUGUGAAACCUCCAACUCUCUCAAAUUGGUCCUUGAGUUGCAUCAGGCCUCUUGGAUCAAAAUGCAACUAAAACAGAGCAACAAAAUGCAUAAAUCACGGAUGCAUAUGAAUGAUCUAUGAAUAACAUCCAAAUUGAAAAUUGGGAUGUUACAAACCUACCCCCCUUAAGAUGAAUCUCAUCCUCGAGAUUCGGGUUGGCCAAAAAAAAGGUGUGGGUGGUCCUUGCGGAGGUCUUCUUUACGCUCCCAUGUAGCUUCCUCCUCGGUAUGGUGGCUCCACUGAACUUUGCAAAACUUGAUGACUCCGCUGCGAGUAACUCAGCUAGAAAACUUGAGAAUCUUAACGAGUUUCUCUUCAUAGGUCAGAUCACUAUCCAACUGAAUCGCUUCCAGUGGCACUGUAUCUCUCAGAGGAAUGUCAGCCAUCUCUACAUGGCACUUCUUCAACUGGGAAACGUGAAACACAUCAUGAACUCCUGACAAACCUUCGGGUAAUUCCAACUUGUAGGAAACUUCUCCCAUACGUUCCAAAACUCUGCAUGGUCCCCCAAAUCGUGGUGCUAGCUUUCCCUUGACUCCAAAUCGUUCAACUCCUCGAAGUGGGGACACACAAAGAUAAGCUCUAUCUCCGACUUCAUAGGCUACCUCCUUGCGUUUCGUAUCUACAUAACUCUUCUGCCUGGACUGGGCUAUCUUGAGUCUAUCACGAAUCAACUUAACCUUCUCCUUAGAAUCUCUGAUUAAAUCUGGUCCGAACAACUGUCAAUCUCCAACUUCAUCCCACGACAAUGGUGUCCUGCACCUCCUUCCGUACAAAGCUUCGAAAGGGGCCAUCUUCAGACUGGCUUGAUAACUGGUGUUAUAGGAGAACUCUGCAUAGGGUAAAUUACCAUCCCAAUUAGAUCCAUAAUCUAGCGCACAAGCUCUCAACAUGUCCUCCAAAAUCUGAUUGGCUCUCUAGGUUUGUCCAUCUGUCUGCGGAUGAAAGGUUGUACUGAACUCUAGCCUGGUACCCAAAGUUUCGUGCAACUGAUUCCAAAACUUUGAAGAAAACUGUGUUCGUCUAUCUGAUAUGAUGGUCCUCAGAACUCCGUGCAGACAUACGAUCCUGGUCAUGUAUAUCUUCACCAACUUAGCACUCGUAUAAGUUGUUUUCACGGGGAUGAAAUGGGCUACCUUGGUUAAGCGAUCGACUACAACCUAGAUAGAGUCAUAGCCUGAACGGGUUCUAGGUAAUCCGGUGAUGAAAUCCAUGCCAAGUUUAUCCCACUUCCAUUCGGGUAUCGACAAAGGCUGAAGUAACCCUGCUGGUUUCUGAUGCUCUGCCUUAACUCUCCUUCAAGUCCAAAUACAUCUUGGUGUUGCCUGGGUGAAUCGAAUAAGGCGAAUCAUGGGCCUCCUUAAGAAUUAACUUCCUGAUCUCAGGGUCAUUAGGCACAUAGAUACAAUCCUCAAACCAUAAAGUUUCGUGCUUAUCCUCACGAAAACCUUUCGCCUUUCCUUUACUCAUCGUUUCCUUUAUCUCUGCAAUCUCCUUGUCCGUCUUCUGGGCUUCUCGGGCCUUUCGCAGCAAAGUUGACUGAAUUUCCAAUGCAGCAACAUAACCUCUCGGAACUAUCUCCAAGCAAAGUUCUCGAAUAUCAUCGGCUAACUCCCAAGGUAAUCCUCCGGUUAUGAGCGUGUUAACAUAACUCUUGCGGCUCAAAGCAUCUGCUACGACAUUGGCCUUUCCUGGAUGAAAAUGCAAUCUCAUGUCAUAAUCCUAUAUGAGCUCCAACCAUCUCCUCUGCCUAAGGUUCAACUCCUUCUGUGUGAAUAUGUACUUCAAACUCUUAUGAUCCGUGUAAACAUCAUAACGGUUACCAAUGAGAAAGUGUCUCCAUUUCUUGAGGGCAUGCACUACGGCUGCUAACUUCAAAUCAUGCGUAGCAUAAUUCAACCCAUGAGGUCGAAGCUGUCGUGAGGCAUAUGAAACAACUCUUCUGUCCUGCAUAAGAACGCCUCCAAGUCCUUGAAGAGAAGCGUCGCAAUAUCUUGGAAAUCCUUGCGUAUGUCUAGGAGAAUCAGCACUGGGGGUGUAACCAAACAUUUCUUCAACUCCUAGAAACUGGCCUCACAAUCCUCAGUCCAUUUAAACUUGGUGUCUUUCUUCAGUAACUCUGCCAUGGGCUUCGCAAUCUUGGAAAAAUUCUCAAUAAAUCUUCGAUAAUAACCUGCAAGUCCAAGAAAACUUCUAAUCUCUCCAACUGUGGUGGGUGCCAACCACUCAGUGACAGAUGCAACCUUGGUAGGGUCUACUGCUAUCCUUUCUCCUAAUAUAACAUGUCUGAGAAAUCCAACUUCCUUCAACCAAAACUCACAUUUGCUGAACUUGGAAUACAACUGAUGUUCCCUGAGCUUCUCAAGAACCAAGCGCAAAUGUUCCUUGUGUUCUUCUUCAUGCUUCGAGUAGACCAAUAUAUCGUCAAUGAACACCACAAUGAACUUGUCCAAGAACUCCAUGAACACUUUGUUCACCAUACUCAUAAAAUAGGCAGGGGCAUUAAUCAAACCAAAUUACAUAAUCGUAUACUCAUAUAGCCCAUACCUUGUGGUAAAAGUUGUCUUAGGUAUAUCCUGCUCUCGGAUCUUCAGCUGGUGAUAACCUGAUCGAAGAUCAAUUUUAGAGAAAACUUUAGCUCCCUGCAGCUGGUCAAACAAAUAAUUGAUCAUUGAUAGAGGGUAUUUGUUCUUGAUCAUCUCCUCAUUCAGCGCAUGAUAAUCAACAACCAUCCUCAAAGAUCCAUCCUUCUUCUUGACUAGAAGCACUAGGGCUCCCCAAGGUGAUGAGCUUGGUCGAAUAUAACCUUUCUCCAAUAACUCCUUAAUCUGCUUCUUAAUUUCCACUAGACGAUUUGCGGGCAUCCAAUACGGUCUCUUUGAUAUUGGUCCGGUGCCUGGCAAUAACUCGAUCAGAAACUCUAUGUCUCGGUCUGGUGGCAUGCCUGGUAACUCCUCUGGAAAUACGUCGGGAAAAUCCUUCACCACUGGUACUUCCUCCUGAACAACUCCAGAAAGGGAAUUCACUUGAGUUCUCCUUGACGCAUGCCUAGACACAUACUUGAUCCUUUUUCCUUCUGGGGUGGUGAGAAGAAUCGAUUUACUGGCACAAUCAAUGUUUCCCUCAAACUUGGAUAAUCAAUCCAUACCUAGGAUCACAUCCCAUCCUUGUGACUCCAGGAUAAUAAGGUCGGUGGGGAAAACAUGUCUACCUAUGGUUAUUGGCAACUGAUAACAUCCCCGACUAGCCAUAUACUCUGCUCCUAGGGAACUCACUAACAUAGGUGACUUAAGGGCUACAGUUGGCAAUUUAAACUUGUCCACAAAACCCCUUGAUAUGAAUGAAAGAGAUGCACCAGUGUAAAAAAGAACAAGGGCUGUAAAUGCAUUAAACAAAAACUUACCGACACCUGCGUCGAGCUGCUCCUCAAUCUCCUCCACAUUGACAUGGUUCACCUGACCUCUGGUGAAAGGGUUGGGCUUCUUUCUAGAACUUCCAUUGCCAUUUCCAUACUUUGCUUCAGAACAUUCAGUGGCGUAGUGUCCGAUCUUCCCGCACUUGAAACAAGUAAUGUGACUCAGAUCCUUCUUGGCGGGUGUCGCGGGGUUGGAACGGCCCUGACUAUUGCUUCCUCCAUUCCCAUUACCAUUCUUAGGGCCACUAUGGUUGUGUGAACUUCCUCCGUUGUGCGAAUGUCCUCCAUGGUUAGGUCCUCCAUGGUUAUGAUGAGUGUGUCCUCCCGAGUACAGGGAAUAGCGAGGCUUCUGCUGAGCUCCAGAAUUGUACUUCCCCUGUCCAUACUUCCUCUUGCGGUUGUCUAUCUACUGCUGCUUGCCUUCUAUCAUGAGGGCCUUGUCUACCAGCUCCUGGUAGUUGUUGAAGGUUGCCACCAUCAAUUGCAUACUCAUCUCAUCAUUGAGUCCCUCAAGAAAUUUCUCCUACUUCGCGGCAUCUGUGGCCACAUCAUCUGGGGCAUAUCGUGCUAACUUGCUGAACUCAUCCACAUACUGUCCCAAUGUACAACUCCCCUGGCGUAAGUUGCGGAACUCACGCUUCUUCAAACUCAUGGCUCCAGCUGAAACAUGUGCGGUGCGAAAGGCCUGCUGAAACUGAUCCCAUGUAACAGUAGCAAUGGGGUAAGUGGUGGUGAAAUUCUCCCACCAAGAGGCUACGGGUCCAUCAAGCUGAUGUACGGCAAACCGCACUCUCUCCGCACAUGUGCAUCCAGCAAUGGUCAGCUCCCUCGCAAUCUUGCGGAGCCAAUCAUCUGCAACAAUCAGCUCGGUGCUGCUAGAAAACACUGGUGGAUUCAACCUCAGAAAAUGGGCUAGGUUGUCAACAGGGGGUGGUGGCGGUGGGUUGUUGUUGUUGUUGCCUUGGUUCUGGAUCAUCAUCUACAUCAAGGCAUUCUGCUGUUGGAUCAACUGGGUGAUCUCCGGCGGGAAAGUGAAUCCGGGGUCACGUCUCGGAGGCAUCUGAUGGGUUAGAGGGGGUGAGAAAACAGAAUAGAGUAAGGUCUAUGAGAGAUUGCACUACCCAUAUACAUAUGCGGCAAAUACAUUCAAUUCACACCACUCAAUAUCAAACAAGAUUCACACAAAUGAUCUAAACUAGUAUUACAAAUCGGUCAAUUCUAACUACUUGGAAGAAUACUACUUAGUAACAUGGUGGUCGUCUAGAAGUUUUGAUCGGUGGAAGACUCCAUAAUAUCAGCUCCAGCUUCGUCUUCAUAAUCAUCAUCACUGUCAUCAUCUGCAUUACUGUCUGUGUUGGUGUCAUCCAAUAUGAUGUAGUCCUCCGAACGAAUAUCCACUUCAGGUUCUUGCUUUGGUUUGAUACGUCCAUUUUGCAUCAUGCUUUUAUAUCGAUAUUUAUUGCAUUAUGGGCUGUUAUUACACAUUAUGUCACAAUACUUCUGCCAAUUCUCCCUUAUUUUACAAGGUUUACAUGAAGAGGGAGAAUGCCGACAGCUGGGAUUCUAGGCUGGAAAAGGAGAAAAUAUUAGAGACCUAUUUUGCACAACUCCAAAAGUCCUGAAACUCCACGAAAUUUAUUUUUGGAAUUAAUAAAAAAUACUGGGCGAAGAGAGUACCAAAGGGGGCCCACACCCUGUCCACAAGGGUGGGGGCGCUCCCUACCCCCUCGGCGCGCCCACUGCCUCGUGGGCCCCCUAUUAGGCCUUUGGUGACCAUCUUCUACUAUAUGAAGUCUUUUACCCUGGAAAAAAUCAUAAGCAAGCUUUCGGGAAGAAACACUGCCGCCACGAGGCAGAACCUUGGCGGAACCAAUCUAGGGCUCCGACGGAGCUGUUCUGCCGGGGAAACAUCCCUCCGAGAGGGGGAAAUCAUCACCAUCAUCAUCACCUUCAAUCCUUUCAUAAGGAGGGGGUCAAUCUCCAUCAACAUCUUCACCAGCACCAUCUCCUCUCAAACCCUAGUUCAUCUCUUGUAUCCAAUCUUUGUCCCAAAACCUUAGAUUGGUACCUGUGGGUCACUAGUAGUGUUGAUUACUCCUUGUAGUUGAUGCUAGUUGGUUUAUUCGGUGGAAGAUCAUAUGUUCAGAUCCUAUAUGCAUAUUAAUACCCCUCUAAUUAUGAACAUGAAUAUGAUUUGUGAGUAGCUACGUUUGUUCCUGAGGACAUGGGAGAAGUCUUGCUAUAAGUAGUCAUGUGAAUUUGGUAUUCGUUCGAUAUUUUGAUGAGCUGUAUGUUGUCUCUCGUCUAGUGGUGCUAUGUGAACAUCGACUACAUGACACUUCACCAUGUUUGGUCCUAGAGGAAGGCAUUGGGAAGUAAUAAGUAGAUGAUGGGUUGCUAGAGUGACAGAAGCUUAAACCCUAGUUUAUGCGUUGCUUCGUAAGGGGUUGAUUUGGAUCCAUAUGUUUCAUGCUAUGGUUAGGUUUACCUUAAUACUUCUUUUGUAGUUGCGGAUGCUUGCAAUAGGGGUUAAUAAUAAGUGGGAUGCUUGUCCAAGAAAGGGCAGUACCCAAGCACCGGUCCACCCACAUAUCAAAUUAUCAAAGUAACGAACGCGAAUCACAUGAGCGUGAUGAAAUCUAGCUUGACGAUAAUUCCCAUGUGUCCUCGGGAGCGCUUUACUCCAUAUAAGAACUUGUCCAGACUUGUCCUCUGCUACAAAAAGGAUUGGGCCACCUUGCUGCACUUUAUUUACUUUUGUUACUUGUUACCCGUUACAAAUUACCUUACCACAAAACUAUCUGUUAUCGAUAAUUUCAGUGCUUGCAGAGAAUACCUUACUGAAAACCGCUUGUCAUUUCCUUCUGCUCCUCGUUGGGUUCGACACUCUUACUUACCGAAAGUACUACGAUAGAUCCCCUACACUUGUGGGUCAUCAUUUCACCAUGGGUAUUCCUAGCUUCUCCUUCAGAUCUUCAUGCUUCUCUAGUAGCACAACAAUUUCUUCUUCAUAUCCAUCGCGUGUUGACUUGAGUUCCUCUUCUAGCUCGAUAUUCGUCUUCAUCACCUUCUUGGUCUUCUUCAUGAUAGUGCACAUCUAGUUCUCAUAUAGACGAAUGUGCUGAUCCAUCUCAUGAAUGUACGCUACAAUUGAUCCAUCCUUCCUGGUACGAAUCAUCUCCCAUUGCUCGUCUCGGCGUCCACAUAUCUGAUAGACGGUGUCUUCAAGCUCCUUGUGGUACACCUCACAAAUGCGUCCAAAAGUGAUGUGGGCUGCCAUGCUCUUUCCCAAGCUCCAAGUUGGUGCAUCCAAGGUGACCUCAAUGGGCUCCGUUGUUGGUGCAAACGUCCUCCCAGGUACAUGAACUUUGAUCCUCCAGCGCUCUUCUUCUGGUAAAGUUGCAGUGAAGAUUCCAGUGAAGCUUGGUAGUUCAAUGUUAAGGUACUUCGUGACUUCCUUCAAGUGUCGUCCGAAAGGGGUGUCAUCAUCUGGCUGAGUGAACUUGUUCCUGGGGUCCGUCAUCUAUAGAGUAGAAAUGGAGGAGGAUUAGAAAUGAGUAGAGAAGAGUAUCUUGUGGCUUUACCUAGUGGUCACGUCCUACAGUCAGCGUGUGCUCUGAUACCAUCUUGUAGUGACCACGAUCCCAACAUAUCAAAGUCUCUAUGCUUAAGUGUCAUCCCUGGAUCGGUAUGCUGACACACAUAGUACUCGAGGAAUUAUAACAAAGUUCAAUCACACACAUAUUACAUCAAGGUCCUCAUAAAGAGUAUUUACAUGAGUCCAGCAACUCCAACGGCAUAGCUGAGUGCAUGACAACGACCUAUCGCACCUUAUUCUUCGUCGGUAAAGUAUGCAACAUGAGACGUUGCAGCCGUGUAGGUCAGCACAUGGAAUAUGCUGGCAGAGAUACACUUUAGAGCAAUUGAAUGCCAGAAACUAUAUCUACAUGCAUAUUUGGCUCGUGGAGGCUCUAAGUUUAAUGUUUUGCAUAAAGCUAAUUUUUUUUCCUACAACAAAGGAAUAAAUUUUAUUUACUACAAAGUUUAUACCAAUGAUUGAGAAGGUUCCUCCAACUCAAAUCCAAAAAUUAACCAAGUAUCAUCAUUAAACCCAAUUCAUUAAUUAAAGAGUGAUGAGAUCAACAUAAUAUCCACUUCUAGAUACUCAAAUUGUCCAUAACCAGUGAAAGCACAUUUGCUCCCUGGGUGGUUUUGGUAAUUAAUGACAACAUACUUUGUGGUUGGACUAAUGCUUUUAUCAAGUAUGUUUCAGGAAGUUCAAUCACUCUGGCAUGGCAAAAGGACUGGAAAGGUGGACACCUAAGAUGCUAAGACAAGCAUUGGCAAAAGCUCAAGACUCUUUUUUUUGGUUUAGUGAUCCAAGAUCACAUUGAGUCUAUAGGAAAGCCAAUACUAUUAAAAGGGGAUGAGGUUAUGAUAAUGAUCUGGUUGCUCAAAGUGCUUAGUGAUCUAUCUCCCAAACCAUCAGCAAUCUUUCAUUCCAACAUACACUCAUAAGUAAUCUCGGUCCCACCGAUUCCAUAAACUCAGUCACACCGAGAUGAACCACCUCAGCCACAAAGCCAAACCCUAGUAAUUUCGGUUUUUCCGAUUCCAAACUCAGUCUCACCGAAACUAGUGUUGCCAACCUUCUGUAACCUUCUGUCAUCAAAUCGGUGUCACCGAGAUGAUAAAGUCGGUCCCACCGAGAUUGGAAAACCCUAGUCUUUGGAAGAAUCGGACUCACCGAGAUUGUAUUUUCGGUCCCACCGAAAAUCCCAACGUUCACAAGAUUUGAACUUUCGGUCUCACCGAGUUGUCAACUUCGGUCUGACCGAGAUUGGUCAAAUGUGUGUAACGGUUGGAUUUUGUGUGGAGGCUAUAAAUACCCCUCCACCUCCUCUUCAUUCGUGGAGAGAGCCAUCAGAAAGAACUACCACUCCUACCUUACAUUUCUGAGAAGAAAACUACCUACCCUUGUGUUGAGAUCAAGUUGCUCCACUCCCACCAUAUGAAACUUGAUUUCUAGCCUUCCCAAGUUGCUUUCCACUCAAUCCUUUCUUCCACCACAGCCAAAUCAGUGAGGAGAGUUGAGUGUUGGGGAGAUUAUCAUUUGAAGCACAAGAGCAAGGAGUUCAUCAUCACCAACACCAUCUAUUACCUUUUGGAGGGUGGUGCCUCCUAGAUUGGUUAGGUGUCGCUUGGGAGCCUCCGUCAAGAUGUGGAGUUGAACCAAGAAGUUUGUAAGGGCAAGGAGAUCGCCUACUUCGUGAAGAUCUACCCCGAGUAAGGCUAGUCCUCCGUGGGCGUAUGCCAUGAUGGCAUAGACAAGGUUGCUUCUUCGUGGACCCUUCGUGGGUGGAGCCCUCCGUGGACUCUCGCAGCCGUUACCCUCCGUGGGUUGAAGUCUCCAUCAACGUGGAUUGACGAUAGCACCACCUAUCGGAACCACGAGAAAAAUCUCCGUGUCUCCAAAUUGCGUUUGAUCUUCUCCACCUCUCUUUACUUCAUGUGCAAUUUACUUUCCGCUGCCCAUACUCUAGAAUUGCAUGUGUAGUAUGCUACUUGACUUGUGCAAUAUGCUAAAUCUGCCAAGAACUUGUCUUUGUAAAAGGCAUAAUUUUUAUCUUGUCGAGUAGUCUAAUCACCCCCCCUCUAGACACUCUUACCUUCAACGAUCCUACAAUUGGUAUCAGAGCAUUGAUUUCCAUUGCUUUGGUUUGCACACCAUUGGAGGAAGAUGGACGUGUCUACGUUUGGGAGUGUUAGCCAUAGAGUGCCUACUCUUGAUGGAGUGUCCUAUAGCUCGUGGAGGAUUGAAAUGCUUGCUAUCUUUAAGAUGUACAACUUGCGCAAAUAUGUUGAAACCCCAUAUGUACCUCCAUUUGACCCCUUGCACCCUACUAUGGAUGAAGAGCUUGAUUUGCUUCGUAACCUUAGAACUGUAAAUCUUAUCAUUAGAGGUUUACCCGAUAACUUACUUGAGCUUGUCACAAACUUUGAGUGCGCCUAUGCCAUAUGGAAGUUCUUGGAAGAACUUUGUCCUGACUACUCUUUGAGAGGUCUUGAUGAAUUUCUAUACAAGACUAUUGAAUUUGAUAUGAUGCGCCCCAAUGAUCCCAACUUUGAUAAAUGCUUCUUUGAGCUUCGUGAUCUUAUGAAAAAGAAGGGUGAUCCCGGACUUAUCAAUGUUCUAAUUAGAAAUGCUCUUGUAUUGCAUUCCGAUGAUUAUUGUCACUUUGACAAAACUAAUGCAAGUCAUUGUCAAAUUGACCUAGGUGUUGAUGAUGAACUAUCUAUGGGUCAAUAUGAUGAUGAGCAUGAGCAUGAUGACAAUUACUCCGAUUCGGACACCGAGCUAGACAAGAUCAUGAAGAGUCUCAAUCUUAUGGCAAAUCUGAGAGACUACAUAUCCGGUGGAAAAGAGUGGAUUCUUGAUAGUGGAUGCACCGAUCACAUGACCGGAGACGAAGACAUGUUUCGAGAGCUUGCAAAGAACGAUGGUCCACGCAAGUAUGUGACUUUUGGAGACAACUCCAAGGGUAAGGUACUUGGCCUUGGUAAGGUGGCCAUAUCUCAUGAUAGCUCCAUUCAAAAUGUCAUGCUUGUUGAAUCACUUGGAUACAAUCUACUUUCCGUGUCUAGAUUAGCUGACUUUGGAUUCAAUGUGCUAUUCACCGAAAUAGAUUUCCAAGUUUUUCGUCGUGACAAUCAUAACAUGGUAUUUACCGGUAUCCGUAGAGGUGAUCUAUAUAUCGUUGAUUUCACUAAGAAAGCUCAACCUAGAACUUGCUUCAUUGCUAAAUCCGCUAAAGGUUGGCUUUGGCAUAGAAGGCUUGGACAUGUUGGUAUGCGUAAUCUAGAUAAGCUAAUUAAAGGUGAUCAUAUUCUUGGUGUUAAAGAUGUUUUCUUUGACAAAGAUAGACUCUGUAGUGCUUGUCAAGCAGGAAAACAAGUAGGUGGAAGUCAUCCCGUGAAGAACAUCAUGACCACAAGGAGACCGCUUGAGCUUCUUCAUAUGGAUCUCUUCGGUCCCAAUGCUUACAAAAGCCUUGGUGGUAACUCCUUUGGUCUAGUAAUAGUUGAUGAUUAUUCCAGAUUUACGUGGGUAUUUUUCCUUGAUGAAAAAUUGCAGGUUCAGAGAAUCUUCAAAACCUUUGCCAGAAAGGCCCAAAAUCAAUUCGAGGUGAAGAUCAAGAAAGUUCGGAGUGACAAUGGAACGGAGUUCAAGAAUGCCCAUGUGGACUCUUUUCUCGAUGAGGAAGGAAUUCUACAUGAGUUCUCGGCAACGUACACACCUCAACAAAAUGGAGUUGUUGAGAGGAAGAACCGAACGCUCAUAGAGAUGGCGAGAACGAUGCUUGACGAAUACAAGACACCGAAACACUUUUGGGGAGAAGCCGUCGAGACAGCUUGUCAUGCUAUCAACAGGCUUUAUCUUCAUAAGCUCCUCGGCAAGACUUCAUACGAGCUCCUCACCGGUAACAAACCCCAAGUGGGAUACUUUCGUGUCUUUGGUUCAAAAUGCUAUAUCCUUGAUAAGCAUCGUCGGUCUAAGUUUGCUCCUAAAACUCAUGAAGGCUUUUUCCUCGGUUAUGGAUCAAACUCCCACACCUACCGUGUCUACAAUAAUUUCACCCGAAAGGUUGAAGAGACGGUAGAUGUGAAGUUUGAUGAAUCUAAUGGCUCGCAAGUAGAGCAAAUGCCUAUUGAUGUAGGAGACAAGGACCCAUCGGAAGCCAUUCAAGAUCUAUCCAUUGGAAAGAUUCGUCCCAUGGAAGUGAAGGAGAGUACCUCAUCUACAUAUGUGGAGCCCCCUACCUCACGGAGAGAUGAACCUCAAGGCAACAUGGAGGCUUCCACAAGUGGAACUCACCAAGAUGAGGAAGUGCAACAAGAAGAUCCACCACAACCUCCUUCCCCACCACCUCAAGACAACACCAACAACAAUGAAGAAGAAGAGGAAGAUGAGGAUGAUGAGGAAACUCAGCCGCGACCACAACAAAAGCUAUCUCGAGUUCGAGCAAGAAUCAAGAAGAAUCAUCCCGUGGAACAAAUGAUGAAUGACAUCGACUCCGGGAGAAUUACUCGCUCUAAAACUCGUUUAGCUAACUUUUGUGAGCAUUACUCAUUCAUUUCUAGUCUUGAACCUAUGAAGGUAGAAGAAGCGCUUGAAGACCCGGAUUGGGUGAACGCUAUGCAUGAAGAGCUACACAACUUCGAGAGGAACAACGUCUGGACUUUGGUAGAGAAGCCCAAUGAUGAUCAAGACGUCAUUGGAACCAAAUGGGUGUUUCGGAACAAGCAAGAUGAGGAUGGACAAGUCAUCCGCAACAAGGCUCGUCUCGUAGCUCAAGGUUACACACAAGUCGAAGGUAUGGACUAUGGUGAGACCUAUGCCCCCGUUGCUAGACUUGAGUCCAUUCGCAUUCUUCUUGCUUAUGCCAACCACCAUGAUAUUACUCUCUAUCAAAUGGACAUUAAAAGUGCUUUCCUAAAUGGUGAAAUUGAGGAGGAAGUAUUUGUGAAACAACCUCCCGGAUUUGUGAAUCCUAAAAAGCCUAAUCAUGUUUACAAGUUGCACAAAGCUCUUUAUGGUCUUAAACAAGCCCCUAGAGCUUGGUACAAAUGCUUAACUAGCUUUCUUCUUGAGAAAGGAUUUGAGAUUGGUAAAAUAGACUCAACGCUUUUCACGAAAAGGGUUGAUAGUGAACUGUUUGUGUGCCAAAUAUAUGUUGAUGAUAUUAUCUUUGGUUCAACUUACCCUCAUUUUAGCGAGAAGUUUGGAAAGCUCAUGUCCGAGAAGUAUGAGAUGUCCAUGAUGAGUGAACUCAAAUUCUUCCUUGGGUUGCAAAUCAAGCAAUCUAAGGAGGGUACCUUUGUCUCACAAACAAAGUACACCAAGGAUCUCUUCAAGAAGUUCAACAUGCAAGAAAGCAAAGGUAUGAGAACCCCCAUGCCUACUAGUGGACAUAAUGACUUGACAAAAGAUGGAGAACCUGUUGAUCAAAAGGUUUAUCGAUCCAUGAUUGGUUCUCUACUAUAUCUCUGUGCUUCUCGUCCUGACAUAAUGUUGAGUGUUUGCAUGUGUGCUCGAUAUCAAGCAGCCCCUAAAGAAUGUCAUCUUAAAGCCGUUAAAAGAAUUGUGAGAUAUUUGAUACACACACCUAACUUUGGCAUUUGGUAUCCUAAGAGGGCCUCUUUCGAUCUUGUUGGCUAUUCCGACUCGGACUAUGCCGGAGACAGGGUUGAUAGAAAGUCAACUUCGGGUACGUGUCAAUUUCUUGGUCGAUCCCUUGUGUCUUGGUCCUCCAAGAAACAAAAUUCAGUAUCACUAUCUACUGCUGAAGCAGAAUAUAUUGCUGCUGGUUCAUGUUGUGCUCAGUUGCUAUGGAUGACACAAACGCUUAAGGAUUAUGGGAUACAUGCGAGACAUGCUCCUUUGCUUUGUGACAAUGAGAGUGCGAUUAAGAUUGGACACAAUCCUGUGCAACACUCUCGCACGAAACACAUUGAAGUUCGUCACCAUUUUAUUCGUGAUCACAUUGCCAAGGGUGACAUCGAUCUUAAGCAUGUUCGUACUGACAAACAGCUUGCAGAUAUCUUUACAAAACCACUUGAUGAGAAAGUGUUUUGUCGCUUAAGGAGUGAGUUGAACAUCAUUGAUGCUUCAAACUUGGAGUGAAAACUCCAUUGAUGCAUGCAAGGCAUGAGCUUACAUGACUAAUCCUUGAUAUUUCUCUUAUGAUGAUGAUCAUAUGUCUUGGACACAUUUGCCCCCUUGUAUUGCAUCUAACUCCUUGCAGGUACUUGGAUGGUCUACAUUCCACAAGAUUACCACACACUCAAAUCUUGAGUAAUCUUGUCAUUGACCAAGUAUCUAGCCCUUUGGGAUGUUGAGUACAAGGAACAAAAUUCCACAUAUCCUUUUUGACACUGUGUACAUCUAGUAUUUCACUCUUGUCAUCUUGGAUACUCUUGAGUAUUUCCUUGCUUGCCUAACCCAUGUAGGAAGAUGAACUACACAAGUUGAAAUGGUGCUCCAACUUCACAUUCAAUGAGCACCUACAUCAAGUUCACCUACAUGAACAAAGCAACAACAAGCCCAAGGUAUGUUCUUCACAUCUUGAAGGAGCUUUGCUCAAAGUCAUGAGUACAAGCAGCUUCAUAAGAUGUGAUCACAUCAAAUGCUUAAUUGAAAAAUGGCAACCCCAUUUUGAGCUUAAACGAUGAGUAUGACCUAUGAUCAAAUGUUCUCAUUUGACUCCUAAGUCAAUAUACUCAAACAUAGGUGACUUUGUCGCCGACCCUUAUCUAGAUGAAGUACAAAUGUUUUGGAGUUUUUCUAUUUUCUCUUAUGUUCUCUCAUUGAGUUUUCUUUUUUAUCAAAAAAAAACUUCAUCUAGCAAUCUUUUUCAUUUCUAUUCUUCUGUCUUUGUGAAUAUCUUUUUGGCUCUGAUCAAUUCCUUGAAAAUCAUUUACAAAUUCAUUACAAAUCUUUUGGAACAUUCCUUGCAAAGUGAGCUGAAUUAUUUCUGUAUUUCCUUGGAAUUAAACUCGGCGUCACCGACCCAAAACUUUCGGUCUGACCGAAAAAGGAUCUGCCCUAAGUCCCAGACUUUCGGACCCACCGAUCCAUCUAAUUCGGUGUCACCGAUUUUUCCUUUAGGAUAGCAUCUUCUGCAGCUCAACUCAAUGAUUCUUUAUGCAUGUUUCUUAUAGCACAGUUGUGAUUCUUAAGGAUCCCACUUCUUUCCUUCCAUCUUUCCUGACCUUCCUAGUUUACUGUCCUUUUCGGCACUUGAUGUCAAAGGGGGAGAAGAUUUAGGGGGAGCUUAGGGGAGAUUGGGAGAUAAGGGGAGAAGAGAAGAUUUAGGAGGAGAAGAAGAGCAAUCUUACCUUAAGGGGGAGAGAAUCACAUCAAAGCUUUGCCGUGUUCCACAUUGGAUAUUACAUUUGGCAUCAUUCUUUUGAUUUUGCUUUCCUCGCUCUCACAAUUGAGAUCUUAUGAAAAGCAAAAUCUCUCAGAGCUCAUUGAAAAAUCUUUCAGUCUUGGGAGACAUGUUUGCUGAUUCAAGCUUGUGCUCAAUAUGAGACACUCUUUACACAUGUCAUCCCUGGCUUGGUACUCUUGAUGUUCUUGCAGUUGGAUGAAGAAAUACUCUUGUGUUAUCUAACCUUGUUUUCCCAAGUUUAUUUCUUCAGGUACAAUGCCAAGGAACUUCAAGGUAAGUAUAUGCAUCUUGCAUAAUGUACAUGAUGGUGACUUGCUUGUGAAUAUCUGUUGCAAGAAAUCACCAUGUACAUAUGCAUUAUCACUCACUUCUUUUCAGCUGCUCUGAUGCAUAUAGCCAAGCUGCAUGUAGCACAUCUUGCUGUUCUCUCUUGUGUGCUUGUGGUAGUCCAAAACCAUAAUCAAUGAAAAUCUUGCACACUUGUAGGGGGAGUCUGUAUACUACAUGUUUGUCAAAGCUUUAAUGAUAAUUCUGUCUUUCUUUCAGUAAGCUUUGAUGUCUUGUUUUGUGUGUUGCCAUCAAUUACCAAAAAGGGGGAGAUUGAAAGCACAUUUGCUCCCUGGGUGGUUUUGGUAAUUAAUGACAACAUACUUUGUGGUUGGACUAAUGCUUUUAUCAAGUAUGUUUCAGGAAGUUCAGUCACUCUGGCAUGGCAAAAGGACUGGAAAGGUGGACCCCUAAGAUGCUAAGACAAGCAUUGGCAAAAGCUCAAGACUCUUUUUUUUUGGUUUAGUGAUCCAAGAUCACAUUGAGUCUAUAGGAAAGCCAAUACUAUUAAAAGGGGAUGAGGUUAUUGUAACGACCAAAUCUCGAAGGAUUUGAGUCUCUGUGCUUACCGUGCUAGUCCCUGGAUCGAACUCGCUAGCACACACAGUAUAGAUGAAUACCAGAAUAGCAAGUGCAUCAUUUAUUACAACGUAUGAUCCAGAAUGUAUAAAAUAAAACAAUCUGCAUAGCACUUGGCUAGCUUUAUUCAAUCAAACAGCGGAAAGUAGCAGAAAAUAACGAUGAGUCCCAUCAUAGCCCACUGGCGAUGCUGAGUGCAGACUCGCGACCCUAACGGUACCUUACUCUUCGUCUGAAUAUCCUGCAACAUGAGACGUUGCAGCCAUAUAGGUCAAUACUUUGAAUGUAUUGGCAAGUUACACAGGAGUAAUAAUAUAGCAGACCUACAUGUAUAUGCAUAGUACAACAAAGGAAGGCUUGAGGGUUUAUUUUUGCAUAAAGCUGAUUUUAUCCUAAUAACUACCUAAUAGUCAAAUUUUUAUUUAGUUCUUUUAUUACUACAAUUAAAUACACAAGGUUGAGUUGGCAAAAUCAACUCCAACCUACCCUUUAUUAAGUUGCCCACAAUUAUUAUUAAGUGUCACAUCUGUCAAGAUCAUCCAACAACUGUAAUGGCAUAGUGGCUCAAAUUUACCCAUAACCGGGGGCACGGCUAAUCAUGAUUAGUUUUAAUACUCUGCAGAGUUUUGUACGCUUUACCCACUGGACCCAAUCCGAAGAUUGAGACGAAGUCUUUCAGAAGAGGUUCCCUUAACCACCUGACGGUCACAUCCCACCUACAUAUACUACAUCUGUCGACACAGUCUGGGCAAGGGUUCCAACAACUGAUCAACUAAGCCAGAGCCCAUAUAGCCAGUGGCCGCACAUGGAAGCUACUAGUCACUAAGUCUGUCUGAUCUUUUUGAACCUGGGCGGCAUUCCACUUACAUUCAGAGGGUAAAAACCAUGAUGUUCUUGAAACCACCCUUCAACACCAAUUCCGCCCAGAGGUGAAUUAAGUCCUCAAUUACUACUCAAUUUGAUUAUAUUUAUAAUCCUCACAUAAUCUCAAUGUAUACACGAACCACCCCCGUCUACAAAGCAUAGCAAACUACAACUACCACGAUUUGCAAAAGACGGGAAGAUAGCUCAACAUCAUAUAGCAAAAUAAUAUAGUAUUCCUAUACAUGCAUAAAUUCAUAGUGUGAUAUAACUACAUGCAUAGAAAACAAUAGGUAAAGGAUGAUCAACAUGUAACUUGCCUUGGUUCUGGUUCAGAAAGUCACACUCCUGACAAUAGUUCGCGUCGCACUCCGGACAAUCUACACGUUUCACACAAUUCAACAAAUCAAUCACCGAAACACGAAUAGAACCAAAAUAUAAACCAACAGCAAGAAAAUCAUUUUCAAAAACACAACAACAGAAGCUUAACAGCACCUAAAUUGCACUACGGUCACAACGCAAAAAGAAUCACUCGAAUCCGAUAAACGGUUUAAGAGUUAUGGCCUCCGGAAGAUUUAAUUCAAAUUUAAACGAAUUCAAAUUUAAACAGUGCAAACAUGUGCAAAGUCGGUACUGUGAUAAUCUGCUGAUUUUCCUGAGUGCACAGGAAAAAGAAUUACCUAAAUUGGCUAUAUAGAAUAAAAGAUAUAGCUAGUUGAAGUUAGAGUUGAAAUCUGAAAAUAAAACAAAAGAAAACAGAAAUCCCCUGCGUUACUGUAGCAACUCCUGUGCGUGUCCUGUAGCGAAGUGCCAUGUGGCAGCACCGGAUUGGUCAGCGGCUGCUGUGCGCGUGUGCUCACCAGAAGCAGAGGAAAACGGCGGCGGCUUCGGGCGUCGGCGGCGGUGGCUCUCCGGCGAGUCUCCGGCGAAGGUGAAGCGACGGAUGGGUGCGGCGGUGAGUGGCGGAGGUGGUGGUGGUGUUCAACGGCGGCGGGGCGUCCUCUGCGGGCGGUAGCGACGAGGUGAACCACGGUGGUGCCCCGGCGAAGUUGGGCGUCGGCGGCGGCAUCGUUCUGGUGAUCUGCAGGUCACCCCGAUUGGUAAAACGAGUGCGGCGUCGAGAGGGGGUUCGAACGGUGACAAGCGGAGCGGCCGGGCGUCCUUACAGCGGUGGAUUCGGACGGUCAACAACGGCGGCCUCGGAGCUCCUCCGGCGAGAUCCAGACGGCGCAGCGGCUUCGAGCAGACGAGAAAAGAAAGGGGAGGGCGUGCGCUAGGGUUCCCGAUGGCCUUUUGCUCGAGCGGGGAGUCCCAGGGGUGCACGGGGUCGGACCAGGCAUCGGAUCGAUCCGGAUCGGCCUCGGCGUGCGCGCGGCGGCGCGUCCGGCUCGGUGAAGGGGAUGAACAGGGCGCGGGACCCGCUGUCAGCGGCUGGGGCGAGGUGGAUCGGGCGCGGGCGAGCGAUGCGGGUCAGGUGCGGGCGUACCGCUUCGCUAGGUUUAGCGGGCUGCGGGCGGUGGGGUUUGGUGGGCCGCAGCGGUGUGGUGCGGCGCUGCUGGGCCGUGCAGUGCGCUGCGGCGCUGCGCUGCGUUUUCCUUUUUUUUAAACAAAAACUACAGCAGCAAGACUAAAAAUAAAUAAAAUAAAAUACACAAUAUAAAUUCUAAAUAAAAAUACCUAGACACACAGUAAAAAUAGCUCUACAGCUAUAAACUACGGGAACACUAGUUCCAACUCUAAUGCAAUUUUGUAAAAUAUUUUUGAUGCAAUAGGCCACUCAAACAGCAAUAAAACAAACAAAUAAAAUAUUUUGAAGAUCACAAGAAUUACCAGAACAUAUCAAAUGAACUGGAAAUAAUAUUCUGCACAUUAUGAACAUUUUUAAAAUAGGGGAGAAGUCAUGUUAUCUCCACUCCAAAUAAAUUGCCUUUUGUUGCAUAAUGAUUUGAAUAUUACCGAAAAGCAAAUAAUGCAUGGAAAAUAUGAUAUGCAUAUGUAUGAUCUAAUAACAUCCUAAUUUAUGAAAAUUGGGAUGUUACAAACCUACCCCCCUUAAGAUGAAUCUCGCCCUCGAGAUUCGGGCUGGCUAGCAAAUAGGUGUGGGUGAUCCUGCUUGAGAUCUUCCUCUCGUUCCCAGGUAGCUUCCUCCUCGGUGUGAUGAUCCCACUGAACCUUGCACAACUUGAUUGUCUUGGUGCGAGUAACUCUCUCUGCUGUCUCCAGAAUCUUAACAGGUUUCUCCUCAUAUGUCAAAUCACUCUCCAACUGAAUUGCCUCAAGUGGCACUGUGUCCCUCAAUGGAACAUCCAUCAUCUCUGCAUGACACUUCUUCAACUGAGAUACAUGAAACACAUCGUGAACUCCUGACAAGGAUUCUGGCAACUCCAACUGAUAAGCUACCUCUCCUCUACGCUCCAAGAUCGUGUAAGGCCCCACAAAACGUGGUGCUAACUUACCCUUGAUUCCAAACCUCUUAAUUCCACGAAGUGGUGAAACUCUAAGAUAUGCACGGUCUCCUACCUCAUAUGUCACCUCCUUAUGUUUCGCAUCUGCAUGACUCUUCUGUCUGGACUGUGCUAUCUUCAGCCUGUCACGAAUCAACUUGACCUUCUCCUCAGCAUCUCUAAUCAAGUCUGGCCCAAAGAACUGACGCUCUCCAACCUCAUCCCACAUCAACGGUGUCCGGCACUUUCUGCCAUACAAUACCUCAAAUGGUGCCAUCUUCAGACUAGCCUGAUAACUGUUAUUAUAUGAGAACUCUGCAUAAGGUAAAUUAUCAUCCCAACUGGACCCAUAGUCCAAAGCACAAGCUCUCAACAUAUCCUCCAAAAUCUGAUUUACCCUCUCUGUCUGCCCAUCUGUCUGUGGAUGGAAAGCUGUACUGAACUCCAGCCUGGUGCCCAAGGAUUCAUGCAACUGGCGCCAAAACUUAGAUGUGAACUGAGUACCUCUAUCAGACACUACCUUCCUCGGAACUCCAUGCAGACAAACAAUUUUAUACAUAUAAAUCUUUGCUAGCUGAGCACUGGUAUAAGUAGUCUUUACCGGGAUGAAGUGAGCAACUUUAGUCAAACGAUCAACAACUACCCAAAUAGAAUCAUAACCUGAUCGAGUCCUGGGUAGACCUGUAAUGAAAUCCAUACCAAUCUCAUCCCACUUCCAAUCAGGUAUAGGCAAUGGCUGUAACAAACCUGCUGGUCGUUGAUGUUCUGCUUUAACCCUCUGGCACACAUCACAUGUUGCAAUAUAUCCAGCAAUUUCCCUCUUCAGGCUAGGCCACCAAAAUCUUUCCCUCAAAUCCAAAUACAUCUUAGUAUUACCUGGGUGAAUAGAAUAAGGUGAAUCAUGGGCCUCCUGAAGAAUCAACUUCCUGAUGUCUGCAUCCUGAGGUACACAAAUACGCUUCUCAAACCAUAUGGCCCCAUGUUCAUCCUCAUGGAAACCUUCUGCUUUACCUUUAACCAUGUUCUCUUUUAUCUCAGCAAUCUCCUUAUCACCCUUUUGAGCUUCUCUAAUCCUAUCAAGCAAAGUAGGCUUUACCUCAAGUGUUGCCAAAUAUCCCUUAGGAACCAUCUCCAACCUGAGAUUCCUGAAUUGUUCACAUAACUCGGGUGGCAUAUUAUCAAUAUUAAUUGCAUUAGCAUGCCUCCUACGACUCAAUGCAUCAGCAACAACAUUAGCCUUACCAGAAUGAUACUGCACAUUCAAAUCAUAAUCCUUGAUAAGCUCCAACCAUCUCCUCUGCCUGAGGUUCAAAUCUUUCUGAGUAAAGAUAUACUUCAAGCUCUUAUGAUCAGUAAAUAUAUCACAACGAUUACCAAUAAGGUAUGGCCUCCAAGUUUUCAAUGCAUGCACAACUGAGGCUAACUCCAAAUCAUGUGUAGGAUAAUUAUGCUCAUAAUUCUUAAGCUGACGUGAAGCAUAUGAAACAACUUUACCUUCCUGCAUCAAAACACUCCCAAGUCCUUGACGAGAAGCAUCACAAUAUACCUGGAAGUCCUUAUGUAUAUCCGGCAGUGUUAAGACUGGUGCUGUAACCAAACGCUGCUUCAAUUCCUGAAAGCUGGCUUCACAUUCAUCAGUCCAAACAAACUUCUUCUCCUUCUUCAACAAUUCAGUCAUAGGCUUUGCAAUCUUGGAAAAAUUCUCAAUAAACCUCCUGUAAUAACCUGCAAGGCCCAAAAAGCUGCGAAUCUCCCCAACUGUCGUGGGUGUCUCCCACUCUGUAACUGCAGCAACCUUAGAUGGAUCAACUGCAACUCCCUUACUUGACACAACAUGUCCAAGGAAAGCUACCUCAUCCAGCCAAAACUCACAUUUGCUGAACUUGGCAUACAACUGAUGUUCCCUCAAUUUCACCAAUACCAAACGUAGAUGCACCUCAUGCUCUUGCUUUUUCUUGGAGAACACCAAUAUAUCAUCAAUGAAAACAACCACAAAUUUAUCCAAGAACUCCAUAAACACCUUGUUCAUCAUAUUCAUGAAGUAUGCAGGAGCGUUAGUCAAUCCAAAUGACAUAACAGUAUAUUCAUACAACCCAUACCUCGUGGUGAAAGCAGUCUUGGGAAUAUCUUGCUCACGAAUCUUUAAUUGAUGAUAACCAGAACGAAGAUCUAUCUUAGAAAACACAGUAGCUCCCUCCAACUGGUCAAAUAGAUCAUUUAUCAUAGGCAAAGGAUACUUAUUCUUAAUGGUAACCUCAUUCAGAGAACGAUAAUCAACACACAUCCUCAAGGUUCCAUCCUUCUUCUCCACAAACAAAACUGGAGCUCCCCAAGGUGAUGAACUUGGGCGAAUAAAUCCUUGUGCCUGCAAUUCUCUUAUCUGCUUCUUCAAUUCCUCCAACUCUUGAGGAGGCAUUCUAUAUGGUCUCUUUGCAAUAGGUCCAGUGCCUGGUAUUAAAUCAAUAAGAAACUCAAUAUCCCUAUCUGGUGGCAUACCUGGCAACUCCUCUGGAAACACAUCUGGAUAAUCCCUCACAACUGGCACCUCUUCCAGGCUACCCCCCUUAAGAGAGUUCACCUGCACCUGAUUAUGCUUAUACUUACACACAUAUUUGAUCCUCUUCCCUCCUGGUGCACUGAGAGUAAUAGAUCGACUGGCACAAUCAAUACGACAUUUAUAUAACUGCAACCAAUCCAUACCCAAAAUAAUAUCCAGACCUUGUGACUUCAAUAUAAUCAAAUCUGUAGGAAACUCAUGCUUCCCAAUAGACAAAGUCAACUGAUGACAACCAACACCUGCUAUCAUCUCAGCUCCUGGGGAACUCACUCUAAUAGGCAUACUAAGGGUUUUGGUUGGUAAUCCAUGUUUAUCAACAAAUACCCUCGAAAUGAAUGAAUGCGAUGCACCAGUAUCAAAAAGAACAACUGCAGGUACUGAAUUAAUCAAGAACUUACCAAUCACUGCAUCAGGUUCAUUGUAAACCUCCUCCACAUAAACAUGAUUUACAUGACCCUUUUGGAAGGGGUUUGGCUUGCUGGAUCCUGAGUUCUUCGCACCUGGGCAAUCUGUGGCAUAGUGCCCCAUAGCCUUACACCUGAAGCACUGCACCUGACUCAAAUCCCUUGGCGCACGUGUAACCUGGUGGUUCUGGUUAUUGUUCCCUCCAUUGCCAUUACCAUUACCAUUACCAUUACCAUUACCUCUGCCAUUGCCAUUGUUACUCUUGUGCCCAUUAUGAUGAUGGUGGCCAUUAUGGUCGUGGCCAUUCCCUCCAUGAUGAUUAUGAUCAUUACCUCCAUGAUGAUUAUGAUGCCCAUUACCUCCAUGAUGAUUAUGUCCAUUACCUCCAUUACCAUGAUAUGAAGUGCGUGGCUUCUGCUGUGGUCCUGAAUUAUACCUGUUACUAUUGUUGUACUUCCUCUUGCGAUUCUCUAUGGCCUGUUGCUUUCCCUCUAGAACGAUAGCCUUAUCAAUCAGCUCCUGGCAAUUAUUAAAAGUGGCCACUGUCAACUGAAGGCUCAACUCAUCAUUUAGGCCCUCCAAGAAUUUCUCCUGCCUAGCUGCAUCAGUGUUAACAUCAUUAGGAGCAUAACGUGCAAGAUUAUUAAAUUCAUCCACAUAAGCAUUAACUGUGCGACCACCCUGGCGCAAACUGCGAAACUCCUUCUUUUUCAGACUCAUAGCACCAGCAGACACAUGUGCAGCACGGAAAGCUGUCUGAAACUGCACCCAAGUGACAGUAGCAAUGGGAUAAGUGACCAAAAAGUUGUCCCACCAAGCUGCGGCAGGACCCUCCAACAAAUGUGAGGCAAACCUCACCCUCUCUGCAUCUGUGCAUCCAACCGUAUCCAGGUUCUUAUUGACUGCACGGAGCCAAUCAUCAGCCACAAUAGGUUCAGGGGAACUGGAGAACCUCUGAGGAUUCAACCUCAAGAACCUGGUAAGCAUAUCCACAGGUGGCGGUGGUGGCGGAUUGUUGUUGUUAUUGUUGUUGUUUCCCAUGUUCUGAGCAAGCAACUGGAUCAACUGAGCCUGUCCCUGAAGCAACUGCUGCAUGUAUGGCGGUAUAUCAUUGCCAUUGUUGUCUCCUCCUGCAGCAGUGCGUCUAGUAUCACGCCUCGGCGGCAUCUGGUGGGCAAGCAUAGAUGAGUUAUAGAUAUAAUAGGGCCAAAAGCUAUGUAUAUAUAAAUAUAUUCUACCCAAAUGCAUAAUAUGAUCAAGCCAACAAAACACAACAAUGAAUAACACCAACAACAAACAACAAACAACAAACAACAAACAAUAUUAUAUAUAUACGUAUAUAGUCGAAUAAUUUCGACAAGAUAUAAAUUAACAAACAAACUACCAAUCAAGCAAACAAUCUAGUAUCGUCAUACCACAAAAGUGGGUAUAAUCAGAUACGCUAACAUGAUAACGCUGCAAUAUAAAAAAAACCUGAAUGGUGGUCUCAGCACUAGUUCCUACUUAACUGGUCAAGAUACUUGAGGGGCUUAACUAAUAAAUAGUAAGAAGUAUAACUAGUUGAUAAAUAAUUUUCACUCCUAUGGCUUUUCUAAUCCAUUUUCUAGGGUCACGUCCUACAGUCAACACACUGCUCUGAUGCCAUCUGUAACGACCAAAUCUCGAAGGAUUUGAGUCUCUGUGCUUACCGUGCUAGUCCCUGGAUCGAACUCGCUAGCACACACAGUAUAGAUGAAUACCAGAAUAGCAAGUGCAUCAUUUAUUACAACGUAUGAUCCAGAAUGUAUAAAAUAAAACAAUCUGCAUAGCACUUGGCUAGCUUUAUUCAAUCAAACAGCGGAAAGUAGCAGAAAAUAACGAUGAGUCCCAUCAUAGCCCACUGGCGAUGCUGAGUGCAGACUCGCGACCCUAACGGUACCUUACUCUUCGUCUGAAUAUCCUGCAACAUGAGACGUUGCAGCCAUAUAGGUCAAUACUUUGAAUGUAUUGGCAAGUUACACAGGAGUAAUAAUAUAGCAGACCUACAUGUAUAUGCAUAGUACAACAAAGGAAGGCUUGAGGGUUUAUUUUUGCAUAAAGCUGAUUUUAUCCUAAUAACUACCUAAUAGUCAAAUUUUUAUUUAGUUCUUUUAUUACUACAAUUAAAUACACAAGGUUGAGUUGGCAAAAUCAACUCCAACCUACCCUUUAUUAAGUUGCCCACAAUUAUUAUUAAGUGUCACAUCUGUCAAGAUCAUCCAACAACUGUAAUGGCAUAGUGGCUCAAAUUUACCCAUAACCGGGGGCACGGCUAAUCAUGAUUAGUUUUAAUACUCUGCAGAGUUUUGUACGCUUUACCCACUGGACCCAAUCCGAAGAUUGAGACGAAGUCUUUCAGAAGAGGUUCCCUUAACCACCUGACGGUCACAUCCCACCUACAUAUACUACAUCUGUCGACACAGUCUGGGCAAGGGUUCCAACAACUGAUCAACUAAGCCAGAGCCCAUAUAGCCAGUGGCCGCACAUGGAAGCUACUAGUCACUAAGUCUGUCUGAUCUUUUUGAACCUGGGCGGCAUUCCACUUACAUUCAGAGGGUAAAAACCAUGAUGUUCUUGAAACCACCCUUCAAUACCAAUUCCGCCCAGAGGUGAAUUAAGUCCUCAAUUACUACUCAAUUUGAUUAUAUUUAUAAUCCUCACAUAAUCUCAAUGUAUACACGAACCACCCCCGUCUACAAAGCAUAACAAACUACAACUACCACGAUUUGCAAAAGACGGGAAGAUAGCUCAACAUCAUAUAGCAAAAUAAUAUAGUAUUCCUAUACAUGCAUAAAUUCAUAGUGUGAUAUAACUACAUGCAUAGAAAACAAUAGGUAAAGGAUGAUCAACAUGUAACUUGCCUUGGUUCUGGUUCAGAAAGUCACACUCCUGACAAUAGUUCGCGUCGCACUCCGGACAAUCUACACGUUUCACACAAUUCAACAAAUCAAUCACCGAAACACGAAUAGAACCAAAAUAUAAACCAACAGCAAGAAAAUCAUUUUCAAAAACACAACAACAGAAGCUUAACAGCACCUAAAUUGCACUACGGUCACAACGCAAAAAGAAUCACUCGAAUCCGAUAAACGGUUUAAGAGUUAUGGCCUCCGGAAGAUUUAAUUCAAAUUCAAACGAAUUCAAAUUUAAACAGUGCAAACAUGUGCAAAGUCGGUACUGUGAUAAUCUGCUGAUUUUCCUGAGUGCACAGGAUAAAGAAUUACCUAAAUUGGCUAUAUAGAAUAAAAGAUAUAGCUAGUUGAAGUUAGAGUUGAAAUCUGAAAAUAAAACAAAAGAAAACAGAAAUCCCCUGCGUUACUGUAGCAACUCCUGUGCGUGUCCUGUAGCGAAGUGCCACGUGGCAGCACCGGAUUGGUCAGCGGCUGCUGUGCGCGUGUGCUCACCAGAAGCAGAGGAAAACGGCGGCGGCUUCGGGCGUCGGCGGCGGUGGCUCUCCGGCGAGUCUCCGGCGAAGGUGAAGCGACGGAUGGGUGCGGCGGUGAGUGGCGGAGGUGGUGGUGGUGUUCAACGGCGGCGGGGCGUCCUCUGCGGGCGGUAGCGACGAGGUGAACCACGGUGGUGCCCCGGCGAAGUUGGGCGUCGGCGGCGGCAUCGUUCUGGUGAUCUGCAGGUCACCCCGAUUGGUAAAACGAGUGCGGCGUCGAGAGGGGGUUCGAACGGUGACAAGCGGAGCGGCCGGGCGUCCUUACAGCGGUGGAUUCGGACGGUCAACAACGGCGGCCUCGGAGCUCCUCCGGCGAGAUCCAGACGGCGCAGCGGCUUCGAGCAGACGAGAAAAGAAAGGGGAGGGCGUGCGCUAGGGUUCCCGAUGGCCUUUUGCUCGAGCGGGGAGUCCCAGGGGUGCACGGGGUCGGACCAGGCGUCGGAUCGAUCCGGAUCGGCCUCGGCGUGCGCGCGGCGGCGCGUCCGGCUCGGUGAAGGGGAUGAACAGGGCGCGGGACCCGCUGUCAGCGGCUGGGGCGAGGUGGAUCGGGCGCGGGCGAGCGAUGCGGGUCAGGUGCGGGCGUACCGCUUCGCUAGGUUUAGCGGGCUGCGGGCGGUGGGGUUUGGUGGGCCGCAGCGGUGUGGUGCGGCGCUGCUGGCCCGUGCAGUGCGCUGCGGCGCUGCGCUGCGUUUUCCUUUUUUUUAAACAAAAACUACAGCAGCAAGACUAAAAAUAAAUAAAAUAAAAUACACAAUAUAAAUUCUAAAUAAAAAUACCUAGACACACAGUAAAAAUAGCUCUACAGCUAUAAACUACGGGAACACUAGUUCCAACUCUAAUGCAAUUUUGUAAAAUAUUUUUGAUGCAAUAGGCCACUCAAACAGCAAUAAAACAAACAAAUAAAAUAUUUUGAAGAUCACAAGAAUUACCAGAACAUAUCAAAUGAACUGGAAAUAAUAUUCUGCACAUUAUGAACAUUUUUAAAAUAGGGGAGAAGUCAUGUUAUCUCCACUCCAAAUAAAUUGCCUUUUGUUGCAUAAUGAUUUGAAUAUUACCGAAAAGCAAAUAAUGCAUGGAAAAUAUGAUAUGCAUAUGUAUGAUCUAAUAACAUCCUAAUUUAUGAAAAUUGGGAUGUUACAGUUAUGAUAAUGAUCUGGUUGCUCAAAGUGCUUAGUGAUCUAUCUCCCAAACCAUCAGCAAUCUUUCAUUCCAACAUACACUCAUAAGUAAUCUCGGUCCCACCGAUUCCAUAAACUCAGUCACACCGAGAUGAACCACCUCUGCCACAAAGCCAAACCCUAGUAAUUUCGGUUUUUCCGAUUCCAAACUCGGUCUCACCGAAACUAGUGUUGCCAACCUUCUGUAACCUUCUGUCAUCAAAUCGGUGUCACCGAGAUGAUAAAGUCGGUCCCACUGAGAUUGGAAAACCCUAGUCUUUGGAAGAAUCGGACUCACCGAGAUUGUAUUUUUGGUCCCACCGAAAAUCCCAACGUUCACAAGAUUUGAACUUUCGGUCUCACCGAGUUGUCAACUUCGGUCUGACCGAGAUUGGUCAAAUGUGUGUAACGGUUGGAUUUUGUGUGGAGGCUAUAAAUACCCCUCCACCUCCUCUUCAUUCGUGGAGAGAGCCAUCAGAAAGAACUACCACUCCUACCUUACAUUUCUGAGAAGAAAACUACCUACCCUUGUGUUGAGAUCAAGUUGCUCCACUCCCACCAUAUGAAACUUGAUUUCUAGCCUUCCCAAGUUGCUUUCCACUCAAUCCUUUCUUCCACCAUAGCCAAAUCAGUGAGGAGAGUUGAGUGUUGGGGAGAUUAUCAUUUGAAGCACAAGAGCAAGGAGUUCAUCAUCACCAACACCAUCUAUUACCUUUUGGAGGGUGGUGCCUCCUAGAUUGGUUAGGUGUCGCUUGGGAGCCUCCGUCAAGAUGUGGAGUUGAACCAAGAAGUUUGUAAGGGCAAGGAGAUCGCCUACUUCGUGAAGAUCUACCCCGAGUAAGGCUAGUCCUCCGUGGGCGUAUGCCAUGAUGGCAUAGAUAAGGUUGCUUCUUUGUGGACCCUUCGUGGGUGGAGCCCUCCGUGGACUCUCGCAGCCGUUACCCUCCGUGGGUUGAAGUCUCCAUCAACGUGGAUUGACGAUAGCACCACCUAUCGGAACCACGAGAAAAAUCUCCGUGUCUCCAAAUUGCGUUUGAUCUUCUCCACCUCUCUUUACUUCAUGUGCAAUUUACUUUCCGCUGCCCAUACUCUAGAAUUGCAUGUGUAGUAUGCUACUUGACUUGUGUGAUAUGCUAAAUCUGCCAAGAACUUGUCUUUGUAAAAAGGCAUAAUUUUUAUCUUGUCGAGUAGUCUAAUCACCCCCCCUCUAGACACUCUUACCUUCAACGAUCCUACAACCAGGGACACGGCUAACCAUGAUUAGUUUAUACACUCUACAGAGGUUGCAUCCUUUUCCCCACAAGACUCGACCGCAUCCAUGAUCGGAUGAUCGAGACAUAGUCUUUCUGAAGCAUUAACUCUCUACAUUGGUAGACCGGUACACCUACUUUCCCCUACAUCUGCUAGUCCACCUCUUCAAGAGCUCACACAUCUUACUCAACUAUGCCAGAGCCCAUAAUGGCUUGUGGCUUCAUGUAGGAUCGAAAGUAUGUCUAGAGGGGGGGUGAUUAGACUACUUGACAAUAUAAAAAUUCUGCCUUUUGACAAAGACAAGUUUUUGGCAGAUUCACAAUGAUGAUCAAGUCAAGCAUCACCCUACACAUGCAAUUCUAGAGUAUAGGCAGCGGAAAGUAAAUUGCACAUGUAGUAAAGAGAGGUGGAGAAGAGCAAACGCAAUUUUGGAGACGCGGUGAUUUUUUCACGUGGUUCCGAUAGGUGGUGCUAUCGUACUUCCACGUUGAUGGAGACUUCAACCAACGGAGGGUAACGGCUGCGAGAGUCCAUGGAGGGCUCCACCCACGAAGGGUCCACGAAGAAGCAACCUUGUCUAUGCCAUCAUGGCCUACGCCCACGGAGGGCUAGCCUUACUCGGGGUAGAUCUUCACGAAGUAGGCGAUCUCCUUGCCCUUACAAACUUCUUGGUUCAACUCCACAUCUCGACGGAGGCUCCCAAGCGACACCUAACCAAUCUAGGAGGCACCACCCUCCAAAAGGUAAUAGAUGGUGUUGAUGAUGAUGAACUCCUUGCUCUUGUGCUUCAAAUGAUAAUCUCCCCAACACUCAACUCUCCUCACUGAUUUGGCUGUGGUGGAAGAAAGGAUUGAGUGGAAAGCAACUUGGGAAGGCUAGAGAUCAAGCUUCAUAUGGUGGGAGUGGAGCAACUUGAUCUCAACACAAGGGUAGGUAGUUCUCUUCUCAGAAAUGUAAGGUAGGAGUGGUAGUUCUUUCUGAUGGCUCUCUCCACAAAUGAAGAGGGGGUGGAGGGGUAUUUAUAGCCUCCACACAAAAUCCAACCGUUACACACAUUUGACCAAUCUCGGUGGGACCGAAGUUGACAACUCGGUGAGACCGAAAGUUCAAAUCAUGUGAAUGUUGGGAUUUUCGGUGGGACCGAAAAUACAAACUCGGUUAGUCCGAUUUGUGUAAAGACAAGAGCUUGCCAAUCUCGGUGGGACCGACUUCAUCAUCUCGGUGACACCGAUUUGAUGACAGAAGGUUACAGAAGCUUGGCAACUCAAGUUUCGGUGAGACUGAGUUCAGAAUCGGAAAAUCCGAGAUUUCUAGGGUUUGGCUAUAUGGCUGAGGUGGUUCAUCUUGGUGUGACUGAGUUUGGAAUAUCGGUGGGACCGAGAUUACUUAUGAGUGUAUAUGGCAGUGAAAGUUGCUGAUAGUUUAGGAGAUGUAUCACUAAGCACUUGAGCAACCAGAUCAUCAUCAUAACCUCAUCCCCUUUUAAUAGUAUUGGCUUUCCUAUGGACUCAAUGUGAUCUUGGAUCACUAAACCAAAAAUGGAGUCUUGAGCUUUUGCCAAUGCUUGCCUUAGCAUUUUGAGGGGUCCACUUCUUCAGUCCUUGCCAUACCCAUAUCACUGAACUUUCUGAAAUGAUUCUCAAAUAACUAUUAGUUCAAUGAUAUAUAUGUUGUUAUUAAUUACCAAAACCACCCGGGGAUUAGUUGCACUUUCAAUCUCCCCCUUUUUGGUAAUUGAUGACAACAUAUAGAUCAAAGCUUCGACAAAGGAUAUAAUCAAUGAAUAAUAUCUUCGCUUUGAGAAGUAUGUGAUAAGCAAGAGCUCCCCCUAAAUUUGUGCAUUAUUUAAGAUUUGCGUUUGAAUGCAAAUGCACAAUCGAUUAGGAUCAUGGGUCACUCUUCCAUGUCACAUACAUCUUGGUGGAGCGCACAAAAUGAUAAGAAUGAAUAGCAUGCACCCAAUCACCAAGACAUG
RNAcentral lists this long non-coding RNA (64525 nucleotides) under Triticum aestivum (bread wheat). RNAcentral's name for it is "long non-coding RNA (TAES_LNC016419)". The record is from RNAcentral. Lineage: Eukaryota; Viridiplantae; Streptophyta; Magnoliopsida; Poales; Poaceae.